Molecule: long non-coding RNA, 54708 nt
Filed under: Ananas comosus (pineapple)
Lineage: Eukaryota; Viridiplantae; Streptophyta; Magnoliopsida; Poales; Bromeliaceae
Description: long non-coding RNA (ACOM_LNC020870)
Source: RNAcentral
CAGCUUCGGACUUUCAAUUGCUACUUCUGUAAACCUAGGCGUCAUAGACACUGACACGAAAUACGACACGAUUCGAAUAAAAUUAAGACACGGACACAACAUAGAUGCCGCUAAUAAAAUAUAAUAAAAUUAUUAUAAUAAUAUAUUUUUAUUAUAUAUAAAAUAUUAAUUUUGAUAAAAUAUUAUUAUAUUUUUCAUACGAAUAAAAAUUAAUAAAAUUUUUAUUUAUUCACAUAUUUUAAAAAAAGAAAAUUCUCCGUCAUAAUAAUUCAUUUAUAUUGUCACAAUAAUUAUAUACAUUCAUCAAAAAACUAAAAUAUUUAUUAUCUUACAGUAUAUAUGCAUAAAAAAAUAAAAUAAAAAUAUGCAUAUAUUUUUUUAAAUUGUAUGUGAUAUAAAUCUACAUUGAACGCAUGUCCAAAGAGUAUCCACGUCGGACAUGCGUUCGAUACGAAUACGCAUGUCCGACACGAACACGCGAGGCUUAUAGAAAUAUCCGAGUAACAAAGAAGCAUAAACUAGUCAGAAGAAACAUUGAUGAAAAAUGGCACACAGAAAUAAUACAUAUUUAUAAGGCACUUAGAACGAUGCACUUAGAACUACUACACAACAACCCAGGAACAUAUAUGAAGUAUAUUGAAUUAAGGGCUGACAACAGAGUUCAAAGGUUUCUAACAGCAGGAACAGCAAUGACAAUACAGAGUAGAACAAACAUAACAACAACUCACUCAACGGAAAGAUAUAUAGGACGACGAAUGGAUAAGACAUUCUCAAGACCAAACAAGCAUAUGGGUUAUAUACCUCCGGUCACUUCUACAUUUCCUCCUGCGCCUCCUCCUCCUCAUCCUCAUACUCACCUUCCUCAUCAGCAGUGGCAUCUUGAUACUGCUGAUACUCUGAUACGAGAUCAUUCAUAUUGCUCUCAGCUUCAGUGAACUCCAUCUCAUCCAUGCCUUCCCCAGUGUACCAAUGCAAGAAGGCCUUCCUCCUGAACAUAGCUGUGAACUGCUCGCUCACCCUCCUGAACAUCUCCUGUAUGGAGGUUGAGUUACCUAUGAAAGUAGAUGCCAUGGAGAGGCCUCUUGGCGGUAUAUCGCACACACUUGAUUUCACGUUGUUGGGGAUCCACUCGACAAAGUAGGAAGAGUUCUUGUUUUGGACAUUGAUCAUCUGCUCGUCGACUUCUUUGGUGCUCAUCUUGCCACGAAACAUGGCAGAGGCAGUGAGGUAGCGGCCGUGGCGGGGGUCAGCAGCACACAUCAUGUUCUUGGAGUCCCACAUUUGCUGGGUGAGCUCAGGGACAGUGAGGGCCCGGUACUGCUGGGACCCACGGGAGGUAAGAGGGGCAAAGCCGACCAUGAAGAAGUGGAGGCGUGGGAAGGGGAUGAGGUUGACGGCAAGCUUGCGGAGGUCAGAGUUGAGCUGGCCCGGAAACCGGAGGCAGCAAGUAACCCCACUCAUGGUGGCGGAGAUCAGAUGGUUCAGAUCUCCAACUGAUAAAAAAAAAGGGUAGAACAUUUAAAUAAAUAUACAUCCAUGCUGGCUGUACACAGCAAUAGUCAUCUAAUACCACUGAAGCAUGUUUAUUGCAUAUUUAUCUGAUGACUCUCAUUUUGGACAUGUUUUCGUUCACUCAGAUAUGCAAUUUAAAAGCAAUUCCUAGGGACGUUUAGCAAACUACUACUGGGUGAUGCACCUCAUUUAUGUCCUCGAAGCAUCCAAUUAUAAACAUACAAAUGCAAAGUCUAGGAAAAAUAUAUAAAUACAUAAUGUACUACCAACUAUGAAUCAAUACCAUCACAACAACAACUCGAGUUUCUAUCUCCAUCUUUCGAAAAGUAAACAUUAUGAAAACCAUGUGCAACCAGAAAUGUGCAUUACAAUAUUUCGUAUAUCAUUGCAAAGUUCAUGCACUUAAGGCCUCUCCAAAUAAAGCUCAUCUACAUCACUAAUAUUUCAUGUUUCCAUCCUAUCCCCAAAAAUUUAACUUCAAUGCACCAUAUGUUUAGUUAGUAAGUACUUACACAUGCAUGAAGAGAAUAGCAAUAUGCUAAGGGGAAACAUUUUCCCAUUAUAAGCAAUUCCAGUGCAGGCCAUCCAUCCAGUUUUAUAUCCAUGCAUACAGAUAAUUGCCGGGCAAAUAAAACAAGGAGGCAAUCAAGCAGUCAUUUUCAGAACGCCAAAUGAAUAAAUCAUAAGAUUGCGUAAAUUCAGCAAUUUGCAAUACUGACAGAAAAUCUGAUUUCGACAACAUAACAUUUUAUUAUUCAAUAAAGCCAACUAAUACUUGGGACCAAAAUAUUCAUGAAAUUGCCACACUAAAUGUUUAUCCUACAAAAAGUCAUCGCAUCUCUCAAUAGCAAGGAUUUAAGUGUCGUGGCACGGGGUCAUGCCGGAAACUUGCCGGCACGGUACGGCACAGUGCGUGCGAUGCGUGCCGGUCAAAAAAAUUCUUGUGUUCCGACACAUAAUAGCAUUAAAUAUUUAUUUUCUUUAACAACAAAAUAUUCUAACUACUUAUUAUAUCUUUUUAUCACAUCUUUUGAAUUUUAUUGAGGAAAUUACUUACUAAUUUAAAGAAUAGAGAGUUUUGAGCUGUGUCAUCGGCACAGGGUCUGUAUCGUGCCGGUAUCUUGUUGGCACGGUACAGCACGGUAGAUACGGCUCGUGCCGACGGGUACUUAAAACCUUGCUCAAUAGUAAACAAUAUGAGAAAGGAUUCGUAACAUUUGCAAGGUAAAGCAAAAGAAAAACUUACAGCUAGGAGUGGUCAGCUUCAGAGUCCGGAAGCAGAUAUCAUAGAGGGCUUCAUUGUCAAGAACCAUGCACUCAUCUGCAUUCUCCACUAGCUGGUGGACAGAAAGAGUGGCAUUGUAGGGUUCGACGACAGUGUCCGAAACUUUGGGUGAUGGGAAAACUGAGAAGGUCAUCAUCAUGCGGUCGGGGUACUCCUCUCGGAUCUUUGAUAUCAAUAGUGUGCCCAUGCCAGAUCCAGUUCCUCCACCAAGAGAAUGGCACACUUGGAAACCUAAUUACAUAAAAUUAGAUUAGAAUUUGAAAUCAAGUACAUGCAGAACAGAUAAAACAAACAGAGUACAGUGAGUUGAGCUCAAUGCAUAUUAUAAACAUUUAAGGGAAAAAGGCAAGCAAGCAAUCUCGAUUCAGUAGGAUAUACAUAAAUAAACUUCUAGCCUUCAAGGACAUCUAUCUACUAGGCGAAAAAGGACAUCUAUCCACUAAAUAAAACAAAAUGGACCAUCUCAAAAAGGGAAGGAUAGAGAGAAUAAACUAGUCACAAAAUGGCAAAAAUAUGACAGCUAAAAAGUGUUAGAAUGUUAAAAAUUAAAGACACUCGAGUUAAACUUUAGAGAUAUGAAAGAAAAUUCUAUUGUAUUAUUAAGAUACACGUCGAGAAUGUCCGAGAGAUCCAAAAUUGUUGGAGUAUUACCAAAACACCUUGAAAGAAUGAGAGGUACACGAUCAAAUUUCACAGAGAAAGCUUAAAGGUGAAAAAGAAAUGUGAACUCAUGAAAGAUUGGCGGUAUUUUUACAUUUCCCCCAUACAAAUCAAUGAUAUUGAUACAUCUCAAGCUACUUGACAGUUUAUAGGUUAUACAGCAACGCAGGAUAGAUCGAUCUUACGUGAAGCUUAAAACAUUUAAGGUGCUAAUGGAUCGUAAAGGAAAAUUGAAAGAAUAAAAAGAAAACAACGAAACAGAUUCAUAAUCUCACUACCUUGGAGGCAAUCACAGUUCUCUGCCUCCUUCCUCACUACAUCGAGCACGGCAUCGAUGAGCUCGGCUCCCUCAGUGUAGUGCCCCUUGGCCCAGUUGUUCCCCGCACCCGACUGACCGAAGACAAAGUUGUCGGGACGGAAGAUCUGGCCAUAGGGCCCGGUGCGCACACUGUCCAUGGUCCCGGGCUCAAGGUCCAUGAGCACUGCUCGUGGCACGUAGCGCCCGCACGAGGCCUCGUUGUAGUACACAUUGACGCGCUCGAGCUGCACAUCGGAGUUGCCUACAUACUUUCCAGUGGGGUCGAUCCCAUGCUCGUCGCACACGACUUCCCAGAAUUUGGAUCCGAUCUGGUUCCCGCAUUGCCCACCCUGCACGUGGAGGAUCUCCCUCAUCUUUGCCUGGAAAGAUGAGGCCGAUUAGCCGGAAAGCGGAUCAGAGCACGGAUCAGAUAAGAAUUAUACAGAAAAUAAGAUGAAUUAAACAAAAAUCACACAGGCAUUGCUAGAAACCUAGAUUUACGGGCCUCAGAGGUUUAGAUCUAGAAUUUUAUCUACACACAAGGUCUAUUUGGGGCCAGAUCUACGAUCAAACAAGGUUUAGAGAACAAAUCGAUUCAGCAGCAAAUUUGAAGAAUUUAUGCUAUAGAAAAAAAAAAAAAAAAAAAAAAAAAAAAAAAAAACAGAAGCUGCAAUAAGAAUUCAAAAAUACGAAUGUACGAGGACUAGAUCAAAGGUUUAGAAAUUAGAAAUCGAAUAAUUUUACAAGAAAAUGAUCAAAAAAUAGGAAAAUAAUUGAUUCAUAGAACAAAACAGUUCAGGAAACUAAUUGAUCAAACAUUACAAGCACAGGAGGAUAAGAUCAACGGUUUAGUGAUUAAAAAUCGGAAAAAUUACAAGAAAAUAAUAAAAAAAAUCACGAAAAUUGGGUGAAACCGGACGCAGGGAUUAGAUCGAAAUGUGUUACCGACGAAUUUGGGGAUUUGGAUUUCGACGCGGACGACGACGGAGAUUGAGAAGGGAAAAAAGGGAUCGGACGGAGUACGGGGAGUGGUCUUCGAGUCUAUAUAUUGGGGGGAGUGAGGAGAGCUGGAGUGAGAUCGGACGGCUGGCAAGCGUUCCCUCCAUUUGUUUUGUAGGUGGUUGGAUGCCGUUGGAUCGAGAUAUCGAACGGUUGGUGGGGCCCGAUGUUUCCUGCAUUUGAAAUGGUUUUUUUGGGCGUUAGAUGACGAAAAUGCCCUUGGAAAUUUUUCUGUGGGUAGGGACAGUUGGUGAGUACGGAGGUCGGAGGAGGGGACUUUCCUCGUUAGUUUCACCGGACGAAGUAACGGUCGGGUCAGUUGGCCAUAACGGAGUUAAGUAGCGGCGUUCCUGAUUUUUUUAAUGAAUUACAUGUCUAAUUUUAUUUAAAAAAAAAAUUUACCAAAUUAAUCUUUUUUUAGUAUCCUUUAAUCUAGCCUCAUUUUGAUUCAUUAGAAAAAAAUUAUUAAAAAAUAUUUUUUGGUGAUGAUUAGUGAGAGAAUUUUUUCUCUCUUCUCCCUCUUUUCAAGCAUGUCCUCUUUCUCCCACCUCUCCGUGUCAUAAUAAAAUAAUUGAGCGUGGUUUCAAUGGUAAAAUUAACGGAAUUUAGUUCUGAACGAAAUAUAAAGAAAAAAAUUCUAUCCUUUCACGAUUUAUAUUUGAUGCUUCACCUACUACUAAGUUAAGACUACUAUGAAACAAGAUAAAGUUCUAUGAAGUUGUAGAGGAUCCGCUUGUACGGAGGGAGCUCUUGCAUUUAUAUAGAAGGGAUCUAGGCUACAUAGUAAACUUUCUUGGUCACUUAAAACGCCUAGAAUGCAAAUAGUUAUAUUUCUGAUGUUGUAUUUCUAAUCAAUUAAAUUUUUUUUCUGAAAUUUAUCCAUCCUAUCAUAUUUUAAAAAAAUAAAAAUUUAUAAAAACUAAUUUUUAAUAAUUUUAAUAUAUUUAAAUUAAAUUAAAUAUUUUAAACAUAUUUUGUUUUUAUAUAAUAUAUCUCAAAAGCUGGAUUUGGGUAUUAUGCGAGCAGCUGAUCGACAUGUUUAUAAAGUGUCGAAUCGAGUAAAAGUCAUUUUAGCACGAAAUGAAUGUGAAAACAACCUCAGAACAUCAAAAUCUGCUGAAAUUAAAGUUCUUGGAAUUUUUGGACACUCGAAAGAUGUUUGGAGCGCCCGGACUCACUGUGCAGAUUCUAAUGGCUGCUCCUUCUCCGUCCAUUAUUCUUUCUCUCCCUGCUGGUGCUAUAGCAGAGAACCUCCCUGACGAGCCGAGCCGAAGCUCCUCUUCACAGUGAAGCAUGGUUUGUUAGCUAAGACCUGCUCAUGGCUGAGAAGGAGAAGUAGAGAUGUGGAUUACUUCUUCCCUGCUGAGGUAGGUAAUGUCGAGCUUUAGUUAGUUUUUUAUCAUUAGAUUUUUGGAGUGAGUUUUUUUAUUUUGUUUUAGUUUUCCUAGCAGUGUGUUCUGCUUGUUAGAGAUGAUUUCGUGGGAGACUUUGGAGCUGUUGUCUCAGUUUUCCUGGUGCUGCGAAGGUGUUGUUGGUUGCAUUUCCAGGUGGGUAUAAAUUACUAAAAUGAUGAUCUUCUUACUGUAUCUAAAUUAGAAAUUCAGUAUGUAUACAUAUAUAUCAUCUUGUUGAUGUAAAAUGAAUUUAGCUCUAGGAGCCAUGGUUUGACUGUAUCGUUGCAGUAUCAGUGCGAUGGAUACCUGGGGUAGUUUAGAAGGCAUUUACGUUCGUGCUGGGCUGCCGAGCUUAUUUUCUUCAGCAGAGUUUAGGCUGUUUCGGGUCGUUGGGUGCCGUCCGGGUUGGCGGUGGACCCAGAUUCUUGUUUUGGUCACAGAUUGUGCCGAGGGCACGUGGGUUUGGUUUGUAGACCUGUUUUGACCCUGUUUACAUGAUUUUGGCUAGUUGGAGCCUGUUUGAGCUCGACAGAGAUACGCUGCAUACUCGGUUGGGUAGCUCCCACUAGUGCCACUCCGGAGACGGGCGUUGUGCUUUUGCGUUGGUGUCGUGCAUGCCAGUUAGACUUGCUCUCUACGGACUGAUUAGUGUGGAGGUAGCUGGAUAGUUUCAACUGGGUGGAACGGGUGUGUUCACAGUCCCUGGGACGGGUAUGUUUACAGUCCCUAAAAAAAUUGGGUCGGAAUUAACAUUACUACAAUAGGCCAGCAUAGAACAUGAUGGUAUAAUAAAUGGUAGUUGUAGAUUUUUAUUCCGAGGCAAGGGCGUCACGAGUUAGAGCCCUACCAGACGUGCUGAGCUAGAGGUACCCCUACUGCAGAUAGAUGUUUUGUUUUGAGUUUAUGUACAUAGUAUACUUAACUCGCCAGUGCGAGUAGCUCUGUAUUUUUGGUAUUGGACUAUGUAUAUGGAACUCCGUUUGUUUAGCUUCUGUUUACUCUAGUAGCUUUAUACUACUGUUUGUAGUAUUGUAUGGUUUAUAGGUACAGCUGUCGCUUCAUAUACAGAAAAAAUUUCUUUGUAUACGGCGGAUUUGUCGGCGUGCCCGGGGAACGUGUAAUCCGGGGCGUGACAGGAUCCUAACGGCGGGGACAUAUUUAAAAAUAUUAGAAUUUUUGUAAGAAUAACACAAGAAAAUUAAACUUUGUAGCGAUAUAUUUGUAAUUCGCUAUAUUUACAUGAGUUAUAUGCAAUUAAUCCAAAGACUAAACUGUGACGCUCAUAUAGAGCGAUGCAGUGUCUCCAACCAAUCAAAUUGCUCUUUUGGAGUUCACCCAUCCCAUUAUAUUUUUUAGCAAAAAAAUUUAAUUGUAUUUUUUUUUCUCAAAAUGAAUAUAAUUAGCUGGACAUAAAUAAUGUGACGUAAUUGUUACAUUGUAAACUUUCUCUUUUGUUGUAUACAUCUAGGAGUGUAAACGAGCCGAACAAGAGCGAGCUGGAGUUAGCUUGUGUUCGGCUCGUUUAAUAAACGAGUCGAAUACGAACUGGCUCGUUAAAGUAUUGAGCUGAAAAAUUCAGCCGAACACGAACUGGCCAACAAAUAAUAAAUUAAAAAGAUUAGAUUGAAUAUAUAUAAAAAAUAAAUUAUAAAUCUUAUCAUUAGACUUUUAAUUAAUAAUGAAAUUUAACAUAUAAAUUCUUAAUAAAUUGAAGCUCGCCUUCUACUAUUUUAGUCUGGUCUAAAUAUAAAUAAAAAAAAAUAUAUAUAUAUAUAGAAUAUUAUUUAUAUAAAGAAAAAAUUAAUAAAUCUAUACACAUAUAAUAAUAUAAAUAAAUAAUAAUAAUAACAAAUAUAAUAAUUAUAUAUAUAUAUGAAUAUCUGCAAAUCUAUUAAUAGAACGCUAUCUUUUGCUCAAUUUAAAAAAUCCUUGAAAUAAAAAUGUAGGGUCAGGAUGAAUAGUUCAGGAUACUUGAUGGCCCCCCUAGUGAGUGGUCCCCAUUGCGCUGUUGUACUAGUAUACCAAGGUAGAAUAAAGAAAAGACGUAUCCAAAAGGCUAAAAAAUUGGUAGCACCAAAGAAUUUCUAACAUAUACCAGUCAACUCAUAUAAUAUAAUAUAUAUAAUAUACAAAUAUAAUAUAUCGACCUGUUAUCGAGCUGAACAUAAGCGAACUGACCCCAGCUCGUGUUCGGCUCGUUUACUAAACGAGCAAGUCGAUCUCGAGCUCAUUUCGAGCCGAACACGAGCCGGCUCACGAACAGCGAGCUGGAUUGCCACCCUUAAUACAUCUAGUACUUUUUUUUUUUAUUAAAUAUCAGAUGCAAUAAGCAUGUCUUAGAUAGAGAAAGUCUAUUGUGGCAAUCACAUCAUAUCUAUUAAACAUAAUGAAUCCACAAUGUUUCUUGCCACGUGGCAAGAUACCUUUCAUUCUUAGGUUAAUAGAUAAUAUUUAUCUCUUAUAUGAAUCCCCAAUAUAAAAUUUAUGUUUCUUCUCCACUUCUAAAUGCGUAAUCCUUCACCUCUCCAUAUUUAAUUACAUGCAUUAUAUUUUACCAAUUAGUGAGCUUUGUAACUCCAAUCCACUCCCCUCCACUAUUAAUCAUUACUUCUAAAUACUAUGCUAAACCCUUCAUCUCUCCACAUUUAAUUGCAUACAUCAUAUUCUAUCAAUUAAUGAGCUUUGUAAUUCUAAUCCACUCCCCUCCACCAUUAAUCUCCACUUCUAAAUGCUCAACCCUUCACCUCUCCACAUUUAAUUACAUGCAUUAUAUUUCAUCAAUUAGUGAGCUUUGUAACACCAAUCUACUCCCCUCCACCAUUAAUCCCCUCACCCCCUCUUUCUUGCAUGACAUGUUAUUUUUCAUGCAAAAAGAAACAUUAUCAUCUAAUCUCUCACCCCACACUCAUCUCCUUCUCUCUAUCUCAUUGUGUUAACAAAGAUUAUGAGGAUGAUAAAGAAGAAGAACAUGCGAAGAACGUUGUCUCCUUCAAAAAAUAUCGUCCUGUAAAGUCCAGCCGCGGCCCAUAUAAAUGCUCGCUGGGCUGGUCUGCACCGGAGCCGUCGCUCGCCGUGAACCGCCGCCGCUUCGGCUGCCUCCUUGCACGGCUCGCACGUGCCCGCAACUAGGCCGAGGGGAGCGCCGUCUUAGCCUUCUCUUCGCGGCGAUGUUUCGCGGGAGCUCGCUUCUCAAAAAUUGCAGGAACUUCUUGGUAAAUCAAAUUGUUUAAGAAUAAGGAUUUCUGUGGUUGAUGUGAUGGCAAGACUGUAUCGGUUUAGAUAUCGCAGUUUGGUGAUGCAGAUGAGGUGUUUGUUCAUAGGUUACAAUAGAAAUCCAGAAAUGACUCGGCACGCGGAGCAACUACCAGUUGAAGAUUAAGAAGAUGUAUGAGAUUUGGAUGAGUAAGAGAAGUGCUCCAAAAAAAUAUUAAUUUUUUUAAGAUUGAUGUUUUUUGUUUUAUUUUCAUAUUAUGAUCAUUUUUUUGAGUAGACACUGUUGUGGGCAAAAUUUCUUUCGUAGAUUAAAAAGUAUGAUGCGGAGAUUGGAGUCUGAGACGCCAACCAAAAUUUUCUUAAGGCAGAUACGUUAAGUUAUUAUUUAUGUAUUUCAUAUGCUUUUAGCUAUUAUUUUAUUUUUUUAACAACUGAAUUUAGUCAUGUAAAUUGACUGUACUUAACAUGAUAUAGCUUUCUAUAAGCUAUAAAUAUAAAUUUUAUUAAAAUAUUAAAAAUUUAUUUUUAUUAUCUAUCUGUUGCAUCGCGCGGGUCUCUACACUAGUUAUCUAUAAUUAGCCAAUAAUAUUUUGCUAAAAAUCAAAAUAGGGUGGAGUUUUUGGGCUACUAAGCCUCCAAAAUCUUAUAAGUAUAAAAAUAGGCAUUUAAAAUUUUUAUUUCUAAAAAUAGAUUGAUAAAAAUAAUGAAUUAUUUAUCAUUUUUUUAAAAGCGGUGAAUGAUUCACCACAUUUAUCCUAAUUUAUAUAUUUUCUACGUCCAAACUUCAAAAUGUAUAUAAUAUUAAAUACUAAAAAUAGUUUUAAUUAUUUAAAGAAAGUGAUGAAUGACUUACUAUAUUUAAAAGUGAUAGUUUAUUCGCCGUUCUAAUUUUAUAAAUAAUUUUUUUUUGAGAGAUAAGUAGCACGCUAUUCGUUUCGUUUAUUUUAUUUAGAAAUAAAUUUAGCUGAAAAUAUGAAUUAAUUAGGAUUCGAAUAUAAAAUCUCGAAUACCAACCAUCAAACCUUUAGCCAAUUUAGAGUACUAUUUUUAUAAGGGAAAAUUUCAAAAACCCCCCUUGUGGUUUCGUAGUUUCUCACUUUGCCCCCCUGUGGUUUAAAAUGUAUCAAUUAGACCCCCUGUGGUUUCUUUUUUCUCUUUUUUUUUUUUAUCAUUUUCAUUAUCUUUUUUUUUUCUUAAAUCAGUGAUAAAGUUAAAAUUAAGGGGUACUAAAGUGAAUAUUUGAUAAAUCUAGAUGGAUAUCUGAAGUUUUUUGAAUAUAAUUUAAUAAAAUAUUAACGAAAAAGCUACCGAAAAGAUAAAAACGAAACCACAGGGGAGGAGGGAGAAUUGAUACAUUUUAAAUCUAGAGGGGCAAAAUGAGAAACGAUGAAACCACAUGGGUUCUUUUUUAAAGUUUUCCCUUUUUAUAAUUGUAGUACGUUCGAAGAGUAUUAAUAAAAGAGAUUCUAAUAGAGUGGUCGCAAAGUGGACGGCGGUCCGACGUGGCACUGCGUGGGACGCCUGUAACGGUCAAGACUUUUUCUCCCGUCGGCGUUAAAAGGAUCGGACUACUCGAGUGAGAGAGGCGGCGGAGACGACGAGGGCGUCGGAAUAGGAUGGGGGACGAGGUGGCGGCGAGCCGUCUGUUCCGGAUCCGACGGACGGUGAUGCAGAUGCUGCGGGAUCGGGGCUACCUGGUGUUGGACUUCGAGAUCAACAUGAGCAAAGCCGAGUUCCUCCACAAGUUCGGCCCCGACUGCAUCCGCCGCGACGACCUCCUCAUCAACAAAUCCAAGAAGAACGACCCCGCCGACCAAGUAUAUCAUUAUUACCACCACUAUACUCUUACUCUUCUGUUCGAUUUGUCGUUUUCUUCGGGAUUUUAGGUCGAUUUCUCUUGAAUUGGCUUAAGAACUCAUCUUGCCUUUCUCACGCCCCCAGGCUUCGGUGGAAGCACCCAUCCGCCGUACGUGUAUGGCUCUCCCAUACGUACGAAGCGACAACCGGAAACAUGCACUUCUAUAUAUGCAUACACACAAGGAAAAAUAUAUGAUUUUGGGUAUCAAAGUAAUGAAGUUCAACUAUUCUAUCAUCCAAUCGGUACAUUCUGAAAUAUAAAUUCUAAUACCCUCUCGAAUAUGCCAAAAGGGGUGGAAAGCUAUCUAUCGCGCGAUGCCCUUAGCUCGGUACCCCGCAGAAGAAGAAGGAGCUGAAAAACNAUUCUAAUACCCUCUCGAAUAUGCCAAAAGGGGUGGAAAGCUAUCUAUCGCGCGAUGCCCUUAGCUCGGUACCCCGCAGAAGAAGAAGGAGCUGAACAACAACAACAAUGGAUGUAAGAGCUACUAUAAAUAGUUUCAGUGGGUACAGUAGCCGAAAGGGGUGCUAUACUCCACUAGGUCUAAUAGAGGCAUCAAUAAUGUGAAUAAGACAAGAGCGAUAAAGGAGAUAAAUUAAUAACCAACAUGAAGCUCCUAAUAUGCCUUUCCUAAAGUUUCACCUAGACAAUACUGAUGUUCACCAUGCCCAAUUUCACCGACCGACUCGUAGUUCGGUCAAGCUCGCACAUUUCGGCUCUUAUGGGCUAUAGUCACAUACUUAAGGUCAAAAUGCCACAUUUGCAACAACUAUAAAAAUCUUCUUGGUACUUUGUCAUUUUCAUCGAACAUGUGAUAGGCAUCUCCAAUGUCAUAGUCUCAAAUAACUUCAAACAUUACUCAUUCGACAUUAAACUAUCUUGGCAUGUUAUUUAAGUUGAUUUACCUUAUGUCAAAGGAACAACAACAAUGAUAGGGCAUGCUAGGACAUAAUGUUUCAAAACCUCAACAUGAAUCAACUUGCUCGUGAACUAGGGUUUCCACAUAUGAUCAGGUAUAACAAGUAAACAUUGAGUUUCUACAAUUAAGUGCCGCAGGAUGCUAGAAGGUAGAAAACAACUAGAAACAAGAAGUAAGAAGAUAUAGUGGGAGAUCACCUUUUCUGGUAAACUAGGGUCCGCGGAAUCUCGUUGAAACUUUGUCGUAAACUCAAUCAAAGUUGUUAGUCCACCAAACAACCCUACAAGAAGGGUUUCAAUACAUCAACAACAACUAAAGAGCCCUAGAAUCUAUUUUUUUUUCCAAAUUUUUCCAAGAAAUACUGCCUAUAAGGAAUCUCCCCAACAAAAUCCUAAAAGAUCACAUACAAGGAGUUCAAAACAUUCAUCUUAUCUAUACAACGGCCUAGCUCUUAGAUCCAAGCACCGUGCUUCUAGGGUUGGAGUCUCCAAGGCUUCUUUUAUCAAGCAUUGCCUCAACUUCGAGCUUGGAGGAAUGGAGAUCUCUAGAGGAAGAAGAUGACGUGGGGUGUUAGGGUUUUGCGGGGGAAGAAGAAAAAGAGAGGAAAAAGAAGAAGUAGAAGAUGGAGGAGUGGGGGGGAAUGGGGUUUCUCUUGUAGAAGGGGGGUGAAAGGGAGAGAAAGGGUUGUGUUUAAAUAGAGUUGUAACAAGAGUAACUAGCCCCCAAACAAAAGAAACUAGCAACAACUAUCAAUCUCAGCCCAUAAGAGGUUUCGGGUGCCCGGAAGAACUUUUGGGCGCUCGAAAGUUUGCGACUAUUGAGUCCAAAACUCUCGAGUUAAGCAUUCGAAUUGGUUUCCGGUGCCCACUUGCUAGUCCGAAAUGUUUCAGGCGCUUGCGGGGCAAUAUGGGCGCCUAAAAGUUUAAUGGUUCGAGCUAGUGUCUCUCUUAGUCUGAGCAUUUAAAACUGAUUCAGACCCCCGCUCUCUUGUCCGCAGGAUUCGGACGCCUACCGAACAAGCUGUACGCCCGAAAUAUUAAUAACUUGCGCUAAGAUAGCUUUCAGUCUGAGCGUUUGGUACUGAUUCAGACGUCCGCAUUAGAAGGUUUGAAACAUUUCGAGCGCCUGAAUUUCCUUUUUGGGCGUUCGCAAAUCAGAGAGGCGCCAACCCAUUUCCGGGCGCCCGCAAUAAUUUACAGGCAUUUGGAUGACUAGAAAAUUCUAGAUCUUUAGUUUUCAUGUCAACUUCGCACCAAAACCACUCAAAUUCCUCUCUAACCUUUUCAAAACCUUCUAAAUAGUAUCAAAUACUAUUUUAUAUUGAAACUUUGCUAAUUACAAAAGUUCAUUAUACUAAAGUCUUAUUAAAUUUUUGGGCUAAAUAAACAUCCUCUAAUCUAAAGACGUUUCUCAAAGGAUCGCCUAGACUUUAAAUUCUGGCAACUAGAUCUCCUGAACUUUUAUCAAAUAGUUCAUUCGGCUCCUUCCCUCGAGCGACGUUACUAAUAAAAUAACGUGUUGGUGGCAUGCCUUACAGAUGAUCAUGUAAAACUUUGAAACACAAAAUGGAAACUACUACUCUUUUCACGGAUAAAAAUAACCAUAAUGAUGGUAGAAUAAGCUUAAUCCAUCUCUGAUUUUUUUUUUUUUUUUUUUUUUUAAAUGUUGGAGUAGUAAGACUGGUAUUUAUGUUAUUUAGAGCUUCACAAGAUCACAUGUAAGAUAUUUCUUGAGAAUAGUUGUAAUUGGUAUCUUUCUUUGAGAAGAAGGGCCCAAUGGACUAUUCGAUAAAGUUUAGGGUGUCCAGUUGCCAAAGUUUAAAGUUCAGCAGCCCAUUUGCUGAAGCUCCAAAGUUUAGGGGGUGUUGUACAUUUUUCCCUAAAUAUUUAUUUGUUUCAUGGGAUUGAAUGGCGUACUGAAUGCUGGAAACCAUGCUCAAGGUUUUUUCUGAAAUAAAAUUCUGGGUUAACUUGCAUAUGCUUUGCAUAGAUCGCCAGGUCAGUUAUUGUUAAAUUCUUUAGUUGGUAUAUUGAUUGCUACAUAUGUGUCGAAGUUAGAAAAUUUUUACUUUAUUCCUGUUUGCAAUCAAUUUGUCUGGUGUAUUUUCUCCUUUUCUCUGUUAUGUAAAUUCUCUUGAGCUAAUUGUUUUUUUUUUCAUUUUCUGAUUGUAGAGUGAUUAUUUGCCGAUUAUAUGAACUAAAGGUCAGUUUUUUAGUUUAAUCUCUCUUAAAUUAGCUUCAUACUUGAGGUUCUCUUAUUAAGCUAUGCUAAAUGGGCAUGUUUUGUAUUCAUACAUGUGUGAUGAGUUUGAAACUGUAGCUUAAUUGAAUUUAUUCAUUGGUUGCCUGCUGUCUUUUUUCUGUUAUAUUUCAAUUUAUGUAGGUUAAUUCAUUUUUACUGAUUGUGGGGGCUAAUUAAUGACUAUAUUUGUUAAAAGAGGUUGGUUUUUUAGCUUAAUUAUCUCAAAAUUGGCUUAAAAAUUCAGUUGGUUUAUCAACCUCUUCUUUAUUUGACGGGAUUCUAGAAGCUCGAAACCUUUCUGAAGAUUUUUGUUGAAUUUAAUUCUAGGUUAACAUGCAUAUACUUUGCAUCAGUCCUAGGUUCAAUUACUGUUCAAUUUCUUAGUUGGUUUACAUAUUUAUCUUGGUGAUAUUUCUAUUUCCUGGUAUUCAUUAAUUUACUAGUUUGUAUCUGGCCCCCACCCCCAAUCUUUCUCUUUGCUAAAUCGCUAAUAGUGCAGGUUUUUUUAGCACCCUGGUAGCGGAAGCACCACUGCGAAAUGCAUUUGUCGUAGGCCCGUCGCAUACUUAAGAUUUCAAGUUUGCUUGGCAUUAAUAUCAAGUAACCUUGUGCAGUUUACAUCUUACCAAACAACUCGCAUGUUUGAAACUUCCAAAUUUGAUAUUACAUUUUUAAUACAAGUUCAUACAAGUUUUAGUUCCAAUAUAAUCUAAUACAUGCCCAAAAUGAUAAUCCAAAAUACAAGGAUAAGAUCCACAUGUACAAAGAUGGAGGCGAUCACAAUAUGUUACUAAGUAAUCGUCAUUGUCUUGCUCAAUCUCAUCCCUGUGGUCAUACUUGAAAAAUUAUAAAAAUCACAUAAUGAGAAUUAUACACAAUAGUUUCUAAUGGAAGCUGCUCCCAAAGAUGAUAAGCCUCACUGAGCCUGAUAGUAUGUGAUCAAUGGAGAGAUAAACAAUGUUAUGAAUGACCAAUAUAUACAUAGAGUCUACCUAUUAUGAUAAAUAGUUUGUAACUAUAUACAAUAGGAAAACAAUGAUAACAUAGAGUAAGUAUAACCAACUAGAACGGCCCAAACAGAUAUGACUUGAUCCAAGAUCGAGAAAAUGCAUAAACGCGGCACCCUGGCCUUAGUUGCAAGCAUUCUCAACUCAGGGAGCAAAGGACUUACCGUGUUGGGCGCGACCAUCACCGAUAACCCUCUCAUGCCUUCUCCCGUCCCAACUCCCACAUACAAAGUCAUCCCCGGUGGCCCACAGAGUAACAUAAGCAUAGUGGCAAGUCCAAAUAGGGCUAAUGUUUCAAACAACAACUCUAUGUUGGGAAUAAACAAGUAUCUGGUUUGAAUUCAACAGUAUUGCAGAGUACAAAGAACUAAGUCCAACACUAUACCACCUAUCCACAAAAGGCAUGGCUCUACUAAUACAACAUGGUAGCAAAAAUCAUUUUAGAGCAUGUAAUUAUAUCUCAUGACAGCAUGUACAACAACAGUAGAUAAACAAUGAGAACAUGGACUUGUAGAACAACGAGGCAAGUAACAGAGAUCAUGAAUUCGAUUAAUGACGACAUAUGCACGCAUGAUAGUAAAGGAACUGCUAGACUUUAUCAUUUUUGGUAAAUUUUUGAUAUCAGAGUUGUUGAUUUCAGAGUUGAAUUUUUUGCUAAUUUUAUUAAAUUAUAUGAUAUAGAUCAACGAAGUUGAAAAGCUUUCCAGAUUGAUUUCGCUGAAUGUUUCUCUAGCUUAGUCAUAUAUUUGUGCAUUAUGAUUGUUAGUUUGUGCUUUCUUAGGACCACUUGACUCAAUAUUUCUAUUUAAGUGGAGUUUAAAUUGCUUUGAAACUCAUGCUAGUUCUUUCACCCCAGAUAAAUAUUAACUUUUGUAUGCAAGUUGGGAAACAAGUUUUUAGUAUGGACACCCUUGCUUCUUUGCUUUGCUUAAUUUUUUAUUUUUGAUUAUGUUACGACGAGUGCACAAAUAGAAACGAAAAAUGGUAAUCACAAAGUAGACAAACCACAAAACAGUACAAUAAAAUGGAACACAGAUUUACGUGUUUAUAGGAAAAAAAAAACCACGGGCGAAAGAGGAGAGAACUUCACUAUAAAAAGAGGAGUAUAAUGUUGUGGAAGUACAAUCCACUGUAUUGCCUCUAGGGCAAAAAGAAGAAAGAAGUUCCUUAAUGGGAUUUCUUCAUUAUCAGCUCGAGCCCUCCGCUUUCCAUCACGGACAUCCACUUUUUCCUUCACAAAUCAUUUUCCAAAAUUUGUCGCACCAUGAAGCUGUUGGCGAAUCAGGGGCACAAAAUCAAAACUAAUAACCAAAUUUGGAGGCACAUCUAACAGAUUAAAUAGUGCAAUCAAACAUUUCGAGGCAAAUUCUUAAGUUCCAUUGUUUCUCUUAUUUUGCUCUGUACCUUAAAUGCUUUUCUUGAUUCUUUUACUUUGUUCUGUACCUUAAAUGAUUUUUUUGAUAGUUUCUUUGCAACUCAGCUAUCCUUGGGGCUGUUUGUCAUUUUACUUCUGUUGUUCAGAAUCAUAAAAUAGUUUUAAUUCUAGAUAAACCUACUUUUCACCCCUAGAGCAGUCAAUGCUAAAAGGUAAAGCUGCAAAUGCAUUAGAGAUAAACAUUUUGCGCCCCAGCUGCUUGUGAGCCAUGAGCUUUUGCGCUGGUCGCUUUGAGAGUUUAAAGUUUAGAAAGUAGUGCAUUCCCUAAGAUCAAACAUAACCUUUGUUUGCAUCAGUGAUUGGUAACCAAAGUAGAACAACUUUGAUUAUAUGGAUUUUUACACAUACGAGCAUCGAAAUUGAACAUAUUUGUAUAUAUACUCCUAUGGAUUGAAAAUUUGCAUCUAUACCAUUAAAAAUAGGUCAUGUUUGCAUAUAUGCCCUUAUUCUCAACUUCUCAUCAGAGAAAAUUAGAAAAUUAACAAAACUUAUGAAAUGACUGUUGAACCCUAUAUUUAUUUGCACUAAGGUGAUUUUUAGUUCUUUUAAGUAGUGUUGAUGCAAAAAUGAGGGCAAUUUUGUCUAUCCAAGCCUUAGUUAAAGUUGAAAUGUCUAUUGCCUGUUUAUCUCCUAGUAACGGAUGGGUGAAAGCCCUUUUUUGGCGAAGUUUCUGUCUAGAGGGGCAUACACUUAAAUAAGUAUAUUUUGAAGGAUGUAUAUGUGAAAGCAUUACCAUUUGGUUGUUCUAUAGAUCAAGGAUUUAAGUGCCCAUCGGCACAGACCGUAUCUACCGUGCCAUAUCAUACCAACAAGAUAUUGGCAGGAUACACUCCCCGUACCAAUGGCACACUCAAAACUCUCUAUUCUUUAAGUUAGUAAGUAAUUUUCUCAAUAAAGUUCAAAAGAUUUGAUAAAAAUACAUAAUAAAUAGUUAAAAUAUUUUGUUGCUAAAGAAAAUAAAUAUUUCAUGCUAUAAUGUGUUGGCAUACAUGAAUUUGUAGUGCCCGGCACGCAUCGGCACGGCUCGACACGCACCGUGCUGUAUCGUGCCAGCAAGUUUUUGACACGACCUCGUGCCAUGGCACUUAAAUCCUUGCUAUAAAUGUACUUUAGAUUUUUUUUUUUUUUUUGUGAGAGAGAUUGUAUGAUUGAUGUUUAGAGUUUUGGCUGAAGAUCUUGAUGUUUUAAUGUAUUUCUUGUUGCAUUAAUAGGAAUAUCAAGUCUUCUCAUCCCUAAGUUUUCUGUAUGGAGCAGAUUUAUGUUUUCUUUCCAAACGAUGAGAAGGUUGGUAUGAAACACAUAAAGAAAUAUGUUGAAUUGAUGAAAGCAGAAAGUGUUCCCAGAGCCAUGUUAGUUCUUCAGCUGAAUCUCACUCCAUUUGCCAAAUCGUACCUUCAAGAAAUAUCUCCGAAAUUCUUUUUGGAGGUUUUCCAGGUGACUUGGAAUGGCCCUUUUAUAUUUCAUCUUGCAACAUUACAAUGAGAUUUGAAAUUUUUGUCUACAGCACCUAUCUCGAUUUUAUUUCUCACUAAUUUCUGAGUAAUAGAGUGUGAGUGGUAUAUUUAUGAUGAACAACAACGAAAUGCAGGAGGCGGAGUUGCUUGUCAAUAUAAAGGAUCAUGCUCUUGUUCCUGAACACCAGGUGCUUACUAGUCAGGAAAAGAAGACUUUAUUGGAGCGAUAUACUCUAAAGGAAACUCAGGUAUGCGGUAUGCCUUAGUUAUUACAUUGUUAUUUAGGCAUGUUGCUUGUAUUUACAGCUUAAUUGUUUCAUGUUUGAAUCGUAAAAUUAAUAAAUCAUAUUUAUGUAUCAACUUCAUAUUCUACUGAAAGUGACAAAUUUGGCGUUAGUUAAAGCAAGAAGACUAGCCUAGGGGUGAAAAGGACCCAAUCCCGAAUCCGAAAUUUUCAGAUAGCAAUUGAAUUUUUACUGUCCGGCUUGGAUUCGGAUUCCGAUUCGGGUUCAAAUUCAGUUUCGGUUUUCAAGUUUAAAAAAUUUUCGGAUUGGAUCUGAAUUCACUUUUCUUCUUUGGAUUCGGAUUCGGAUUAUCCCAAUCUGAAGCAGAUUUUGAUAUGUUUUCAAUACGUAACAUCCAUUGUUUGAAAAGGCGCGCCUGAGGCGUGCGCCUCGGCACCUAAGUGCGAGGUGCGGGCCUCAGCUCCUCAGCAAUAGCGAGGCGCAGCGCUAUUGCUGAGGCGCGUGCCUCGGGCCUGAGGCGCGCGCCUCAGGCGAGGCACGAGGCGCUCCUGAGGCUCUGAGGCGCGUGCCUCACAAUAGCGCCUCAGGCGAGGCACGAGGCGCUCUUGAGGCUCUGAGGCGCGUGCCUCACAAUAGCGCCUCAGGCGAGGCACGAGGCGCUCUUGAGGCUCUGAGGCGCGUGCCUCACAAUAGUUAAGUUUUCUGUGUUUUUGAUUCAAGUUUUCGAGUUGUCGGGUUUUGAAUUUGCAUAUUAUACUUUAAUCCGAUAAGAUACUCAAAAAACAUUAAAAGAAAUCCAAAAAAAUUCAAGUUUUGGAUUGUCGGGUUUUGAAUUUGCAUCUUAUACUUUAAACUUGAUAAGAUACUUAAAAAUUUUUGAAAGAAACCCAAAAAAACCCCUAAAAAAAAUUAGCCGCUCGCCCUCUCCUCUCCGUCUCUUGUUCUCCCACAUCCUCUCUCUGUCGAGCAUUCAACAGCAGCUGUGCUAGCAGCAGCAACAAACCAGCGGUGGCCAGUACAAGCAAUCAGCAGCAGCGGAAGUAGGAAAACAAGUAGUAGCAGCAGCGUCAGCAAGAACAUCAAAUUAAACUAUAUGCAUGCAUUUUUUUUACUUUUUGAUGGUUAUUUCGGAAUUUUUUAAUGUAGAAUAUCAAAUUAAACUAGGCUUAAUAAAUGUAUGCCUCGCCUUCUUGAGGCGCGCGCCUUGCAGUGUGCCUCGUGCCUUUUCAAACACCGGUAACAUCCAUGUUAAAUUCAUAUUUCAUAUUAUUUUUUUAGAAUUUGUAAGUUUUUUAUAUUUUUGUAAUUUAUAAUAAAUUUUAAAAUACAUUGAUAAUAUUAUUUGCUUUUAGUUCUAUACAUUUGUUAAAUAUUCAAUCGAUAUCUAUAUCCGUUAAAUAUCCGACAUAUAUCUGAACCCAUUUUUGCUGGAAAUGGAUUUUAAUUUUAGUUUCCUAUUAAUAUCCUAAUCUGUUUCAGGAUCCGACAUAAAAAUAUGGAUGCGGAUAUGGAUUGAACACUAUCUGAUCCAUGUCGAAUCCAUUUUCAUCCCUAAGACUAGGUGCUUCAGUCAUUUUGGAGGCCUUUUAUAAUUGUAGUUCAAAUAAUCAAGCCAUGAAGUGUUGAAUAAGUUACUCUACACAUUGAAGCAUCCGUGACAAGGACAAACCAGGAAUUGUGUGUUGAGGUCAAAUCCUUUUUAAUUGGUUUUGAGUCACCUACUGUUUUUCAUAUGGGUUGUCCUUUAUUUUCGAGAAAGAAUGAUAUCCUUUUAGGGGCGUGGGCAAAUACUGUUACACAUAUGUCGACCACAAAAGCGUAGAUGAAUAAGAAAUUGCAUGUGGAACAAAAAUGAUUGUAACGCAAGUGUCUUUGUUGGCUUGUGUUAAUGUGUGAUUUUCUCAUUCCUCUUAUGCUAUAAUAAGGUUCAAUUACAAAAAUCCCCCUUGCACUUUUGGGUCAUGUCUCAUAUAGCCCUCUGCAUGAAAAAUUGCAUCAAUUACUCCCUUGCACUCUGUCAUUGAUUCAAACAGAUCCAAAACGUAGGAUCAUCAGCAUAUUGGGUUGUAGAACUUCGCUAAAACGAGCUGAAGAGUAACUGUUGGGUCAUUGAAGCUGCUAAGGAAAGCAUAAGAAAUAAACCUGUUUCCUGUAUCUUUGAGGAAAUUUGCUAUCUCAUGCACUCUUCCUUGUCCAAAAUUUUACUUGGGAUGUUACUAUCCUAAAGCUCUUUUCUCUUAUAAUUUACUACAUCUUUCGAAGUUAAUUUCUUAACUUCCAACCGUAAGAUUCUAGACCGUGGAUUUAUCGAGAAUAUCUAUCUGGAAAUUGCACCUGUUUGCUCAUUAUAAACUAAUUAAACAGGAUAAGAACAGGUAUAUAUCUGCUGUUAAAAUCAAGCUGCCUCAUGUGGAAAACAAAAAACAGAACAUUUGGGCAUCACCUUUGCUUACUUUAUACCUAAUGAAUGCUAUGAAACUUCUUACUGUUAGAUAUUGUGGAACUUCAUGUCUGUAAUUUCUCGUUUGGUGGAUUUCAGCUUCCAAGAAUUCAAAUUACGGAUCCGAUCGCAAGAUACUACGGCCUCAAACGUGGACAGGUUGUGAAGAUCAUCCGACCCAGUGAGACUGCGGGCAGAUACGUCACCUAUCGAUUCGUCGUCUAAUUUCGGCAAACAUUACAUGUUUGUUUAAAAAAAAAAAUAAAUCUUGAAGCAGCGAUUCCUGCUAUUUAACUUGUAUCUAGUAUUUCAAAGCGUAUUACAUGUCUCGAGAAGGGCACAAGCUUUCUCCACCAGCCAUAAUAAACUCCUGUUUGAUCGCUGUUUGAACGAAAGCGAAAGAAAAAUAAUACGUAUAGCUUAUAUUUAUACAUGCCAUCUUGAAAUGUAAAAGAACUGACUGGAGUAGAAUAAUGGAAGUCUUCCAUGACUCAAAGAGUCGAAUAACGAAAGUCUUCCUGUUUCAUGGACCAUUUUGUACUGCUUUUAGAUCACCCUAUGAUUUGCAGACUUCCUGUGCUAGGUUUCUUGGCGUGUGAUUUGCAUGGAGUCAUGAUCAUGAUUUAAAUCUCAAUUGAUUUAUUGGUUGAUUGAAAUGGAGACAUUCUUUAGAGCUGCUCGUUUUGAUCUCUGGGGAGCUUGUAGCUGCUGCAAGGAUCCGGGAUUCGCAAUAAGGGCUUGUUUGACUGAGACUGAAUCACUUGUCACCCGAGAAGUGAAUAUCUGGUCGAAGCAACAAUUCUCGACUACAAUUAAGCAUAUUUGGCCAAAGAUUGUAUGGGAAAUGACUAAAUCGUGCGGUAGUGAUUUCAAUCAGAGGAGCAACAUUUACAUAUUAUUUCUAUCUUUGCAAGAAGGCUCCAAGUUGCCUGCAUUAUGUGUGCCAAACACUACCAGCUGUCUCACUUGUAUGAAAGUGUUAGCAGCUGCAUCAGAUGUGUGACCAAAUAGGCUCUAAGACUAAUAAUAGAUCUGAUCAAAAUCCAUGCUAUUGUAGUACAAUGUAGGAACAAGCUAAAAGCCUAUUUCUCUCUGUCUCUCAAUGUUUGCGUAUGUUCUGUGUGCGCGUGCGCGCACGUGCGUGAAUCUUGUUGGUUGAGGGGAGCGAAAAUACCAGUUCGGGUGUGGACCGCGCCUUAUGGACCAAGGCCAGGACUCAGGGUUUGUACAAAUGCAGUCCCAGUCUAAACAAUUUAAAAGCCCGUUUUCCAUAUAUAUAUAUAUAUAUAUGUCUAUAUCUCAACUACAUGGUUUUGGAUGUGCUAUGGCAAUAACAAUUUUAGGGAAUUAGUUCCCAGUUCCCAACCAUACUCAUUGUAGAUAAAAUGUAUCUUGUAACAUUUAUUUAUCCUUAUGUUCUGAAGAGUAUGCCCAACCUGUUAGAUUUUAAUUGGAUUUUAUUGUGAUUUAAAACUUAUUUGGCCUCUUGGAUACCCCAAUUCUUAAUGGGCCUCGCUAGGGAGCCCAUGCUAAGGUUUCCACAUGAGAAGUUUAAUCCCAAAUUGGAAACCAAAGGCAUGGUGUGGUUCUUUAUAUACUCUCAUAUUCUCAAGCUAGUUGUUUGGAAGAAAAUGAGAGUUAUACUCUCAACUAAAUACGCGCACGGCACGAGCACGAGCACGAGUCGAGCCGGGCUGGGCUGGGCGGGCGGUGACGCGCGGUUCAGGCACCCGAUUUAUUUGAUUUUAUCUUUAUCUUUAUCUUUAUCUUUAUCUUUAUCUUUUGGAGCUCUAAUCCUAAUCCUAAUCCGUAUUUCGUAGGCUUAUCUUGUUCUAUACGGAAUUAACGCGUAGGAGCAAGAUUUUGCCUAGUAUAUAUAUAUAUUGGAGGAGGUUUGAUGAGUUCGACAGUGAAUCGGAGCUUACCCUAAUUAUUAUUUCUGCUUCUUCUCUCCAUUAAUAUUUUGCGCUAGUUUUCGCCGAGCUUUCUAGUAUUUCGUUGAAUCUCUUAAAGCUUAUUGGGUUCAUCUUGCGUCACCUUUAAAGCGUGUCGACAGGGUGGAACGUGGACGUUGUAUCUCUGAGAAUAAUUGCCCGGAAGCCUCGCACGUGGAGGGGCAAUUUCGCUUCUAGAAUAGUGCUCUGCACGUCUCGAUCCACAGGCUUUUUCUACUCAUUUUUUUUACCGUGUUUAUUGUUUAAUUUCUUUUCGGAGUAUUUCUAAAACUGUUAUUAAACUUUCGAAUUGUGUUUUAAAGAAUAGUUUAAUAAAAGAUCAAAAAGAUUUUUCCAACACGCUUAAAUGUGGAAAAACUAAGGUGAAAUGUUCGGUCCAAGGGAUUAAGGAGAAUAAGGGAUUUAUUUCCCUUAUUCUCUCCAACUGCACUAGGCAUUGUUAUUUUUCUCUUAAUGGGUUGUUCUGGAAUAAUUCGUUAAAGGAGAGAAUAGUAGUUCUACCCAUAGGUGGAACAAACUAUUCUCUAUCUUAUCUCUCUACUAAUUAAGUUAUAAAUAAUUAUAAAAUAUUAAUUAAUUAUUAUAAAAUAUUAAUUAAUUAUUGUAAAUUAGUUUUUAAUAAUUAACUAAUUACUUAUUUGACUUAUUAAAGUAACAAAUAUUUAAAUAGUAAUUAAUUUAUUAUUUAUAAUUAAUUAGCUAAUUAAAUAAUUAACUAUUUGGUAUGCUUAUAUCAAUCAUUAAUUAAUAUUUAUAUUAUUUAAAUAAUUAAUGUUUGUUUUUAUCUGAUUAAUGUAUUAAUUAAAUAAAAAGUUGAUGAAAUCAUUAUUUAAUAAUAUUUAGAUGCUUAUUUUACUAAUAUUUAGAUGCUUUUUAUUUCGAUUAAUUAUUUUCGUUUUCAAUCAUAAUUACUCUUGUUCCUACUAUCCCAACCUAUCACCCAAACAUAAUUCUUUUUAUUUCUUAUAAUAUCUUGAUUCUCAUCCAACUACAAAAUUAAUCUAAUUCCGGCUUAUCUCAAAAGUUAUACUUAUACUAGGAAUAAACAAGAAUAGCUUGUUUUCGAAUUAAACGGUAUCAUAGAUUAACAAAAAAAAACAACCGCUUAGAGGUCGGGAUUUUGAUCUCCUCUUAACACAUGUUUAGAAUUAGGGAUGCAAAUGGGGCGGAUCUUGGGGCGGGAGCCUCUCCCCGCCUCCCGCCCUGACUACCAAAAUCCCGCCCCACCUUUCGCCCUGAAUCCGUGACCGGUUAAAAAAUAUAUCCCAUAAUCCGUCCCGCCUCGUAACCCGCCUUCCGCAGGCACCCCGAAUCCGCCCCCGCCAACUAAUAUUUUUUAUAAAAUUAUAAUAUUAUUAAUAUUUUGUAAAAUAUAAAUUAAUAAUUUUUAAUAAUAUUAUAUAUAUAAUUAACAACAUCAAUUAUAAAAAUUAAAAAUAUCAAUCACAAUUCGAAGUAAAAUUCAAAAGUUUCAAAUACAUGAAAAAUGAUAGCAGUAACUUAUUUGUAUUUUGAACCUUUUAAUAAAUACAUUAUUUUUUAGGAAUAUUUUUUAAAAAUAUAAAUAAUUUUCGGGACGGACUCGAGGCAGAUUAUGGAGGAUUCGGGAUGGGUCAAAAUUUUUUCUGUUUCCUGCCCUGAAUCCGUUUUGGGCGUAAAAAUUACCUCAUUUUCUGCUCCGAAUUCGUUUAUUUUCUUUCGUUUAUUGUCCCAUUUGGGACGGAUUGGGGCGGGAGCUCCACCAAUCCGGAUCCGUUUGCAUCCCUAUUUAGAAUAGGGCUCGAGCUUCCGAUAUAUCAAGUAAAAAAUAAAAAAAAAAAUCUAAUGGAUGAACCUCCAGGGGAGUAUAGAGUGCAAGGAUCUACUAUUAGAGCAAGCUUAAAAAAACACUAUAACAAUUUUCACCCCAGAUACCAACUAAGAUAUUUAGAUCCUCCUGCUGGUGCACUAGUGUUUGUAAAAUAGGACACGAACUCCCGACUUCAUAAGGAAAAAAAAAAAAAGAACGUACUUCCGACAAAUCAAAAAAAGAAGAAGAAAAGAGAUAGAAAACAUUAAAAAUAUAACAAGAAAAUCAUCAUUUAGAUAGUUCGGACCCAUUAAAAGAAUUUGGAUUAAAAGGAGAGCUUUUUUUGCAUUUAACCCCCUGUCAAAUUUUUAUUUUAAAAAUAGUCCUGUCAAAAUUUAAUUUACAAAAAUGGGCCUGCCACGCAGGUGCCAUGUCAGCGCCACGCGGGCGGGGUUGGAGAGGUAGUUAAGUUAAACACGGUGAACCAUUCACCGUGUCUAAUACGGUGAAUGGUUCACCGUGUUUAGUACGUAUUUUUUAUAUAUUGAAAAGAGGAAUAGGAAAUUUGUAUUCCUUUUCUUCUCAUUUUCAAAAAUCCUAACCCGAACCCGAAAAUCAAAUUAAAAUCCAAACUCGGAUCUGAACCCGACGGAUUUUAAAAAUUCAUAUCCAUAUCCAUAUCCGACCAAAAACGUGAAACCCGAACCUAAACCUAGUGGGUUUUAAAAAUCUAUACCGUUGGAUGAAGAUCUAAGAAAUAAAAAUUAUUAAAUAUUUUAUAUAUUGUAUAAAUAAAUAAAAAUAAAUUAUGUAUAUAUAUAUAUAUAUAUAUAUAUAUAUAUAAUUUAUUCGGGAUUCGGAUAAUAUUUUGGAUAUCCAUACGUAUUGACAUCCUUACUCCCUAUUUCUCUUUUCAAUAUACAAAAAAUACGUACUAAACACGGUGAACCAUUCACCGUGUUUGAACAUGGUGAAUGGUUUACCGUGUUCAACUUAAAACACGGGCCCCGGCCCUGCCUGCGUGGCGCUGACGUGGCGCCUACGUGGCAGGCACAGAGCUAUUUUUGCAAAUUAAAUUUUUACAGGACUAAUUUUAAAAUAAAAAUUUAUCAGGGGGCUAAAUGCAAAAAAACCCCUUAAAAGGAGGUUUGUAUUCGAGAUUAGCGAGUAAUGCUUGUUCCGCAGGAACAUCUGAACGGAAUGAUUAAAGAGUUAACCAUUUCUUUCCCUUCUCUCUUAAGCCCUCCAACGGCUAGUUACCUUUCAAAAGAAUCCGACCGUUGGAGGCAACCCCUCCGCGCCAUAUAGCCCCGGAAAGAAGAGCAACGAAGUGCGGGGAGAGAGAGAGAGAGAGAGAGAGAGAGAGAGAGAGAGAGAGAGAGAGGCUCUUUUUUCUUUUCUCUUUGGAGGAGGAGGAGGAGGAGAAGAGACUACAAUGGCUUCGAGGCAUCAUAUUGCGAUUUCGCAGCAGCAAAGAGGUAAGGACGAAAAAGAAAGCUUUUUUGCUACAUACAAAUCCUUUUCUCUAAUGGGUUUCUCUGGUAAUUUUAUUGCCUUCCUCUUCCUUGUUGUGCCUUAUUUUCUUUUUCUUUUUUUUUCCCCUUUUUUGGUCUAUUAUUGGAUGGUUUUUCAUUCUUGGGUUUCCCCCCUUUUCUUUCAUUAUCUUUUUGCCCCCUCUAAAUAAGAGUAAUUUGGGAUUUUUGGUACAUUUUCUGUUUGUUAAAUCUCUUGUUCUUCCCAUUUCACAAUUGCUUCUUGUAAUGUUAAUCUUUUCCCGCUUUCUGGAUCAUUGAACUUUUUUUUUUUGAGCUCAUAAUGCUUCUUCUUCGCACAAUAUGAUUUCCUUUUGAUUAUUUUGUUCAAUUUCCCUAACGGUUUACUUAAUUAAUUCAUACAAAAUUCCUCAUACCCGAAUUUCUUUCGACCGUUUGUUCUUCUUUUUAUACCUUAUUUUAUUGUAAAAGUUGCCUUCCGAAGGCAGUAGUAUUUCUUGGCCCUUUGUUUCUUGCUUGCCCCUCCUUUUUCCCCUUCAGAGGAUAUCAAUGUCCAUUACCAAUUCAUUGGCUCCUUAAUAAUCUUACCUUCUUGUUGCUUUCCUUAAUCCAUCCCUAUAUGACUCAACUCUUUUUUAUUCCUCAAUCAUCAGGUGGGGUCGCGCCUGUCAACAAGCAAAAGGCGGCGGCCGGAGCAGAUGGGAAGAACCGGCGGGCCCUUGAAGAUAUCGGCAAUCUAGCCAAUCUCAGAAUCAAUGAAGGGUAGCAACACCUAAACUUGAUGAUUCUGCACUGAUGCUUAUGACUUUUUGUGCCUUUUCUCCUGAUGAUCUUUCCUAAAUGAUUUCUUUAUUGGAUUCUUUUCCGAAUCUAGCAAACCGCAGCCGCAGAUCAACCGACCCGUAACUAGGCAAGCUUUCAAUCCCACACCCAGAUAUGCUUUUAAUCUUAAUUUAUUUCAAAACUGUCCCAAAAUUUAUUAGAUAUAACUAAUAUGGUAGUUUAAGAUUUAAUUGUUUUCUUAAUCCUUUCUUUUUUUCCUUUUUCUUCUCUUUCAGCGAUCUUUUUCUGAAGAACUGCCAGCAUUAUAUGCAGAAACAAGUGGCUGUUCCUACUGACAGAAUAGCAGGAAAGGGCAGUACAAAAGCUACAGCAGCUCCCGUCGCCGGAGUAGCAGGAAAGGGUGCUGCAAAAGCACCCAAGAGUGCUGCAGUUAAGCCCGAACCCGAGAAUGUUAUUGAGAUCAGCACCGAUUCAGAUGAGAGCGCUACGCAAGUGUCUGCAAGUAGUGUCAGUUUUCGUGGUGGCAAACCAUCAAGAAAGGAAGUUCACACUCUUACCUCAGUGCUUACGGCUCGAAGCAAGGUGUGUUUGAUCAAUUAGAACUUCACCCACCUUCUACGAAUUGUAUAUAUUUUGUAACUUUUUUUUAAUGUGACCCUGUUUGCUUUCUUUCUCUUUAGAUUGCUUGUGGAGUUAUUGAGAGACCAAAAGAGCUGGCCCUGAAUAUUGAUGCAUCGGAUGCCGAUGAUCAAUUGGCCGUUGUUGAUUAUGUCGAAGAUAUAUACAUAUUCUAUAAGCAUGCAGAGGUACGUUGCUAAAAUGCCUGUCUCAUAAACGAUAUCUGCGAGCCUAUCUGUUUCACUCGUCUAUGUUCUAAGAUGUGGUUUUCCUUUUCGCGCUGCAGAACUCAAACCGACCGCGCGACUACAUACACUGGCAAGCAGAGAUCAGCAUGAAGAUGAGGUCCAUCCUCGCUGACUGGAUCAUCGAAGUGCACCACAGAUUCGAGCUGAUGCCUGAGACCCUCUACCUAACAUUCUGCAUCAUCGACCGCUACCUCUCAAUUGAAACAGUCACCAAGGGAGAGUUGCAACUCGUGGGAGUUAGCGCCAUGCUCAUCGCUUGCAAGUAUGAGGAAAUCUGGGCUCCUGAGGUAAUAAUAAUAAUAAUUAAUGCGUCACUUCUUUUUUUCUCUCUUUAGUUGAUAUAAUAUGUUCUAUAUAAUUUGAGCUAAUCGAGAUGAGCUUUUGUUGGGUGCAGGUUAAUGACUUCAUUUGCAUUUCGGAUAGGGCAUACACCAGAGAGCAGAUACUAGGAAUGGAGAAAGGGAUUCUGAACAAACUUGAGUGGAAUUUAACGGUUCCGACUUGCUAUGUUUUCCUCGUGAGGUUUCUCAAGGCUUCAGCGUGUGAUAAAGAGGUUACAGACCAAUUGUGAUAUUAUCUUUUAGGUUCUGAGAGUUUUAGAGUCUUUUAGUUCUCUUUUCUCGAUUUAACUCGAAUUCUUCUACACAAACUGCAGAUGGAGCACAUGGUUUUCUUCUUUGCUGAGCUGGGUUUGAUGCAGUACUCAAUGAUCAUGUAUUGUCCAUCCAUGGUUGCUGCUUCUGCAGUAUAUGCGGCUCGCUGCACACUUAGGAAGAGUCCUCUUUGGACUGAAACACUGAAGCACCACACGGGCUUCUCAGAGCAGCAGCUGCUGUAUGGAAUUCUUCCUCAAGAAUGUUAUUUUAUAGUAGGGUUUAUUAUUAACAGCAGUUGCAGAUGCUUAAUGAACAAAGCUUUUGCUGUUUGUUCUGCAGAGAUGCUGCUCAAAUUCUUGUGAAGUUUCAUUCGGUAGCUCAUGAGAGCAAACUGAGGGUUGUGUACAAGAAAUACUCGAAUGAAGAACUUGGAGCGGUCGCGCUGCAUCCUCCCGCAACAAGGCUGAUAGAGGAUCUGUUGAAGGCUUCAAAGAAGUGAUGGAAGGGGGCUGGUAGUGAAUGGCAGUAGUUAUUCCCUUUUGGUACUUGUUUGCUGAUUCAAAAUUUCAAAUUUUUUUUUUUUUUUUGGAAGAAGUUAGUUUAUUUGUUCUGUAGUUAGAAGGUGUCCGACAGAGUAGAGAGGUGUGGAGUUUGUGGGCCUUUCGGAGGCAAUGGAAAUCAUCUCAGUGAUGAUACAACAAAGUGAUGUCUUUCAUUUUGGUACAUACUCUCUCUCUCUGGGAGUUUAUGCUUCAAAGUUCUUAAAGAUUCGGCGCAUCUGAUUUUGCUGAUCAUUUAAAAAUGUGUAAAAAAUCUACCAAUUUCAGUGCAGAUUUUGAAAAAGAUGUUCGAAAGAGGGGGUUUCCGCAAUUCCAACUAGGCGAAUAAUAGGUGGGCCUACUAGGGCCUGUUUGGAAUUAUACAUUUAAAUUUUGAAUGCAAGAUCAAGGGGUUGAGCAUAGUUAGUUAAUUCGGAUUCGGCAAAAAUUCGGUACGGAUAUAAUUCGGAUAAAAUUCGUCUUCUAAUUUUUAAAUUCGUUGAAAAAUACGGCUAAAAAACAGAUUCGCCAAUUAUUCGGAUACGUGAUUUAUACGGAUAUUAUACGUUCGUUAAUUAAAAAUUCGGCUAUUAAAUUAAGUUUUUUUUUUUUUCUCUCAAGAUUUAUGUUAUUAGCAAUAAAUACUCAUAUUUCUUAAGAAUAUAAGAAUAAAGAGCUAAAAAAUUAAGCUAAUUAAGUAAAAAAAAUAACAAACUAUAUUAUGCCUCAAAAUAAAUAAAUAAUUAAGUAAAUAAGAGAUUAAGAUAGUCCAUAAGAGAAAAAAUAGCCAAACCGAUUUUUUUUUUUUUUGGGAGAGGUUUUUUUUUCUUUUUUCUUUUGGGCGAGCACAAGGCCGAUGAGGCCCACUAGCCACAUGGCCCGCGAGGCUCGCGACCCUCGAAGCCUCGAGCGCGGGAGCGAGCGCGCGCAGGAGCCAGCGCGGGAGCGCGUGAGUGCGCGAGGGCGCACGCGCGAGCCCGCGCGAGCGCGGGCCCUACUGCGAGCGCAGGCCCGGGCGCGGGACCACGGGCCAUUUUUUUGAAUGAAUUAUUCGUGAAUCGCGAAUAAUUCACGAAUAUAUAUUUUUCUCCAAAAAAUCGCGUUUUUUUCCGAAUUUUUCGGAAAAAUACGAAAACGCCCGUUUAAUUCAUUUUUUCAAAAAUUCGUGAAUAAUUCAGCAAAAAAUUCGCGAAUUUACUAACCAUGGGGUUGAGUGAACAGUCUGGGAGCAGUUAUGUCAUAGGUAGGUUGGCGAAUCGCGAAAAUAGCUGCGAUUAUGGUGGCCAAGAGGCAACAAAAGAGAAAUAGGGGUGAUGAGAAGAGAAUGGAAGCAUCAACACCCUAGAACUUAUUAUCUUGACUCCUGCACUAGGAGUAGCCAAAUUAAUCAAAUUUUAAAUUUUAAUAUGCGGGUAUGAUUGUGGUUUCAAGAUGACCUCGGUAAUAUAAGUUCAGAUUUAUGUGAGCCAUCGGAUUGAGUCGAUUCGGUUGAAUUUAAUUUUGGUUAAAUUAAAUUACGAUUAUAAUUAGACUAAGAUUAGGAUUACCCUAACUUAUUUACCCACAAUAUGUGUUUGGGGGAGGCUGUACGGCUGUCGUGGCCGGUUUCUCUACAUGCACAUGAAAGAUGAGGCGAUCACAAGGUAGGAAAAUGAGAGAUACUAUAACAAAAUUAGGUUAUAGGAACAUAUAUUUGGAAUAAUUUUGUUUAAGGUCUAAAUAUAAAACCCAAUCCAACGAAAAAUAAAAAGUUUUUUUUACUCAACUAACUCCAUCCAACCCACUUAGCCCGAUUACAAAUAGAAAAAAAAAAAAAAAUGAUCACCAUCUCCUCUUCUCCUCCUCCGCUACCGCAGCCGACGAGGUAAGGUUCCGGGAGCUGGAGUUCGGCCGCGAGGAUCUCGUAGAGACCAUAGAGGGCGACGAUCGCCACGUAUCCCUCCGUCACAGGUCGCUUGAGGAGUGGGUGCCAAAUAUCGAGGCGGCCCCACACAUAGCGACCCACAUAUAGCAACACUUUUAACAAGUGUCGGUAAUUUAACCAGCAGUACUUUUUUUUUUACUUGUAUCAAUAUUUAAAAGUAUCACUAUACACUAUUUUUGUUGUAGUGAGAUAGGUGAGUCAUCUUUGUUCUUUUCUCUCUUUCUUCGUCUUCUUCUGUUCCUUCUCCUUCUCCUUCUUUGUUUUCCAAUCUUCUCUUCCAUAGCCGCUGCCGCACCCGUGGCUGUUAGCACUGCCGAAGUGCUGCCCGCCACAAGCCUAUGAAGGCGUUGGCCGUGCAUGCCCAAGAGAGAGGUGGGUUUGGUACGAGGCUUGAUCAAAAGUCAAUAGGAGGGGGGGAAGAAGACUAAAAAUAUUUUAAAUCUAUCUAGAUCCGGUUCAUAGUGGGCUAUAUUAAUUUUAGCAUGAUUUAGUCAUUAUUUGAGGUUUACAUUUAAAAUAGCAAUUUCUAUAUGUAACUAAUAAUUAUUGUUAAAUGUGACUCGAAAUUGAUAAUUGGCUUCAGUUCGUGAUUUCGACUCGCCAACAGUUUUGCGGUGCGAUCAAAUUAGAAAAUAAAAUUAUGAAGAAAAAAUGAAUGUCUGCGGUUAGGGCUGGCAAACGAACGAGCCGACUCGCGUUCGACUCGUGUUCGGCUCGAUAUUCGGCUCGCUCGAGCUCAACUCGAAAUUGAAUGAGCUGAGCUUGAACAAAAUAAAAGGCUCGAAAUUCAUUUCAAGCUGAGCUUGAGUAUUACUCGGCUCGUUCGAAUUAGGCUCGAAAAGCUCGAAUAUAUAUAUAUAUAUAUAUAUAGAGAGAGAGAGAGGAGCGGAGCGCGCGAGAGGCCGUGGGGGGCUGACCCAAGGCCGAGUGAGACAAGAAUGGUUUCUGGCCGAGCUCUAAUUCUGAACCGUCGUCUGAGGCUAUAAAAGAAAUGGGUCUGAACGCUGGGUCUAUACAAGCCAAAACUGCGCCGACGUUCUCAUGGCCAAUCCGAGUGCAGAAGAGACAGGAAAUUGGGUCACCGGCAACGCGCGACCGGCACUCGAAGGCCAGGAAUCAGUCUAGUAUGCACUACUUGAGAAAAAGGAACUGAGUAUCCAGGCAGCAGCGUAAAUUUAUUCUACACUAGGUCGUCGAUACCAUCGUGCGCUACAGACUGCGGCGAGGCUCAGGAACAGAGACUGAUAGGCUUUUUAAGAGGCGCGAAGAUGCUAGUAUGGGUGUUGUAGAAAGGCAGUGUAGAUGUGCGAAAUGUGUUUCUGUCAAGUCGAGUUCCAAGUUCCGAGAGUAUGUAGAAAUUAAACUGACGUAGCGGUUAAUGCGAAGAUUCAGCGAUUAAACUGAAUCCGAUGAUUCGAGAUACGUAGCAAGAAACUACACAGGUGAUACAGUGUGUGAGCGACGGAGUGAUCUGUAUAGAUGAAGCCGGGUGAAUUUCGGUAAACUGAAGCCCACCUCGGAAAAGGCUAAUCCAACGCAGCGAGAAGUUGUAAAGGAAGGGAAAACAGCGCGAUCGCCGCCGUCCAAUUGCACAGACGACGGAGUCCACGAGGCUUCGAGACGGCGCGCUCCCAAAGACGACGGGUGGGCGGGAAGAAUUUUGCCGAGGCGAUGUCGCGGUUUCGCCGCGGAGCGCGGGAUAGACGAGCGGAUCAAGAUGUAGAGAGAAAUAUGAAAAUUCUCAGCUAAUUAUAUUGGGGGUAAGGAGAAUGGAAGCUUGGAAGUAAGGCAAUCUUAUCCACCAACAUAUGCAAUCUUCCGACCAACAAAAUGACUACAAACCUUCACUAACUCAAAUUAACAGUUGAGUGCAGCGGUCACCCAAUUUGUUAGCCGUACUCGGCCCUCAUCCGCAAAGCUCUCAGCACGAUUAGGAUGAGCCAAUACGCGUCCCGUACCGAUCGGUACUCAGCACUGAAGAUUUCUACACUGUUGCGGAUUUCAGGCGUACAGAUUACUCAACUCUCGCCUAAUCGAGUCGGUUUUGUGUCCAUUUUCGCUGCCAUAAGACAUCCGACUUGUCCCGCACUUUCCAGAUGUGUUGACAAAUCAGGCUGAAAUCUCACGGCUCGGGUGCAGGACAGCCAGGGGUACUCACAGACUACUUCAACUAACCAUAAACUUUCAAGAAUUCGCUGGCACUCGGUCUAACAGCGCAACAAUGGUUCGCACAGGAGGCUUUUUCGUCUUUUUUCUCUCAAAAAAAAGUUAAGGAACACCCACUAAAAUAAUUAUUAAUGACAAACGCACAACAGAAAACGAAUGGCGAAUACAAAAUAACAAACCUGAAAAAAAAUGAAAAGAACACACAGAUUUACUGGAAACUCUUUCAGAAAAAAUCAUGGGCAAAGAAGAAGAGAACUUCAACUAUCGAACGAAAAGGGACAUACAGAUGUUCGGCCCCCUGUUCCCGACCCUUUCUCGAGAGUAACAACCAACUUUUCAAUCUGUUGUCUCUAGAGCAAAACAAAAAGAAAACUCUUACGGACUUCAAAAUCCGAUCCGUAACCGCGGGGCAGGCCGUGAAGAUCUCUGUCGGCCUGAGCCCUCUGUACCCACCGCAGAUAGGGUGGACGAGCUCGAGCUCGAGCGCAGCUAUGUCCUCAAAUUCGGCUUUAAAUUAAUUUCGACUUAACAUCAUAGGCUCAAGCUCGCUUGAAAUUUAAUUCGAAGCCGCAGCUCUGAGCGAUGCCUAAUUUGCGUAGUCGCGUCGAGCUCGAGCUCUAAAUGAGCCGAUUGAAAUUCUCGACAUAUAUAAUCAAUAGUUUAAUUUUAUAUAACAUUACCUAGAAUUUGAUGGCAACAUUCCAAUAGGUUCAAAAUACAAAAUUAAUUGUAAGAAAUGUGAGCUAGGGUGACUGUCUGACUGGGUGAGGGUCUGUAGGAGAAUGAGAGAGAGACGAGAGAGAGAGAGGGCAGAGGGGAGAAAAAAAAUUAGGGAUUUGAAAUUUGAAUGUUAUCAUAUUUAGGUUUAUGUGGCAACAGUAAAGUCUGAACAGAGAGAGUGUGUUUAUGUAAAUUUAGAGUUUGGCUCAAUGCACGGUUUGUACUUGUUGGAUUAUUUAAUGGCCGACAAUAAUAUGCGAAAUUAUUAAAGCCUAUAUAUAAUUAAAAUACAAUUAUAUUUAUAAAAUUUUUAUAUCAAUAUAAAUUGGAGCUCCUAUAUCUUCUAAAAGUUAAUCAAGUUAUUGUACUUGUAAAUUUUUACCAUUGAAUUAAGAGAUUAUGGGCGGUAGGAUGAUGUGGCCGCCCUAUGGGUUGAGUGGAUGGUUGGUAUAAUAGUAUAUCUAAUGGUUGAAAAUGGAUCCGAAGGAGUAGAUCAACAGGUACAAAUUACAAGCACCAAGUGCUUGGUACUUUUACAGUACCAUCAGCUGGGUACCAAACUUACAAGCACCAGUGCUUGGUUAUUUUAGCAAGCACCAUUGUCUCGACUAUAAUAUAUAAUAUUAUAUAUAUAUAUAUANNNNNNNNNNNNNNNNNNNNNNNNNAGUCACCCUAGCUCACAUUUCUUACAAUUAUUUUGUAUUUUGAACUAUUGGACAUGUUGCAUCAAAUUGUAGGUAAUGUUAUAUAAAAAUUAAACUAUUGAUUAUAUAAUGUCGAGAAUUUCAAUCGGCUCAUUUAGAGCUCGAGCUCGGCUCGACUCGAAAUUAGGCUCGCUCGAGCUCGGCUCGAAUUAAUUUCAAGCCGAGCUUGAGCCUAGAUUUAAGCUCGAAAUUAAUUUCAAGCCGAAUUUGAGCUGACAUAAGCUCGCUCGAGCUCGGCUCGUUUCCACCCCUAUCUGCGGUGGGUAGCAGAGGGCUCAGGCCGACAGGAUCUCACGGUGCCCCCCGCGGUACGGAUCGGAUUUGAAGUCCGUUAAGAGUUUUCUUUUUCGUUUUUGCUCUAGAGACAACAGAUUAAAGUUGGUUGUACUCUCCGAACAUUUGUAUUCCCUUUUUCGUUCGAUAGUGAAGUUCUCUUCUUCUUUGCCCAUGAUUUUUUCCUGCAAAGAGUUUUCCACGUAAAUCUGUGUGUUCUUUCAUUUUUUUUUAUGGUUUGUUUAUUUUGUAUUCGCCAUUUCGUUUUCUGUUUGUGCGUUUGUCGUAAUAAUUAUUUAGUGUGUCCUAACUUUUUUUGAGGAGAAAAAAUAGACCGAAAAAGCCUCUGGCGAACAUUGUUGGUGUUAGACCGAGUGCAGCGAAUUCUGAAAGCUAUUAAUGGUUAGUUGAGUAGUUGUAGUACCCCUGGUGUUCUGCAGCCGUGAGAUUUCAGCAUCUGAGGCUUGUCAACACAUCUGGAAAGUGUCGGGACAAGUCGGAGUUGUUUUGGCGCGAAAUGGACACAAAACGGACUCGAUGUGAGGCGAGAGUGAAGUUCUGACGCUGAAAUCCGCAAAGUGUAGAAUUUCAGUGUUGAGUACCGAUACGGUAUCGGGCUGGUAUUGGUAUCCUAUGUGCGAGCUUGCGGAUUGAGAGGCCGAGUACCGGUAACCAAAUUGGGUACCGGCACUCCAACUGUAAUUUGAGUUAGUGAAGGGUAUUGUAGUCAUUUUGUUGGUGGAUAAGAUUGCCAUAUGUUGGUGGAUAAGAUUGCUACCUAAGCUUCCAUAUCCUUACCAACUUAAUUAGCUGAGAAUUUCUCAUUUUCUCUCUAAUUUGAUCGUGUGUAUGGUGGAGAACGCGACUCGAGCUCGGAAAAUUUUCGACGUCGUUUUGGAGGGCCGUUCGAGCACGUGGACGUCGUGGUUGUGCCAUUGGAGGCCGGGCGAUCGCGUGUUUUCCCUUCUUUCAACUUCUCGCUGUCGUUGGAUUAGCUUUUCGAGGUGGGUUGAAGUUUACCGAAAUCACCGGAUUAUCUUCUAAGUUUCAUCGUCGUCAACAUGUAUCACCUGUGUAGUUUCUUGCUAGUAUUCGAAUUCAUGGAUUAGUGUUUAAAUCUGAAUUUUGAAUUAAGCUAGUAGUUUAAUUUUACAUAUUGAACUUGGAACUGACUUAGGAGAAAACAUUUAGAAUCUACACUGUCAUUUCUAAAAACUACUAGAUUUAGCUUUAAAAGCUAUAGUUUGUUUGUAUCGCCGCAGUUUGUAGGCAGUGGAUAGCCAGAAUAGUGUAGAAUAAAUUUACGCUCGUGCUGGGAUACUCAGUUUAUUUUUACAGUAGUGUAUAGACUGUUCUGGACUGUCGAGUGCCGUCGCGGUUGACGGUUGACCCAAUUUGCUGUUUUUGCAUCGGAUUGUGCCGAGAGCACGUGAGUUUUGGUUGUUAGACCGGUUAGACCCAUUUGCUUUGAUUAUAGCCUAUGAGAGGUUGAUUGAGCUCGGCAGAAACAUUCUUGUAUACUCGGUUGGGUAGCGCCCACGAGUGCCACUCCGGAGUCGGGUUUUAUACUUUUGUGUUGUUGUUGUUGUAUCCUAGUUGGACUCGCUCUCCACUGACGACUCAGCGUGGUGGUGGUUGGUGUAGCUUCGACAGGUGGGACGGAUGCGUUCACGGUCUCUAGUGAGAUUGGGUCAGAGAUUGCAUUUUUAUAUCUACAGAUAGCUAGUGUUGUUUAGCGAUAAUAUAGUGGCAUGUAGCUGUAGAGUUUUUCCAGCUUCCUUUACUAUUCUUGAGCAUAUUUUCUGUCGACUUAGUGGGUGAGCCGUUGAGGUCGGUAGCGGUACCCACUGAGGACUAACUCUUUUUGCAGUAGUUCUCAUACCCAGUUGUUGAUCCCUUUUUGCAGAGCCUUUUUCUGCGGCUGCUGUUGUUGCUGAUACUGAUCGUAGAAAGGGAGUUGCGAGCUAGAUCCCUUCUUGUUUUGCUGCUGUUUUAGAGGAGUACCAGCUAUAGGUAGUUUUGGUUUUUGGUUCUUAUACAUACUAAUGUUUGUUCUUCGUUGGAGCGAGUGAUGUUGUAUUUGGAUACAAUGUAUGUAUAGUGAACUCGUUGUUUGUUUAUAUAUGUUUACAGUUCUGUUAGCAGCUCUAUACUAGUGGUUGUAGUUUUGUAUGAUUACAGAUACAGGUACAGCUAUCGUUUUGUAUACAAGAAAAAUUUCUUUGUAUACGGCGGAUUUGUCGGCGUGCUUGGGGAAACGAGUAAUCCGGGGCAUGACAGUAGUCAGGGACCAAUCUAUAAAUAACAGUUUUCGUUUGAGAGAUUGAUUCGUAAAAGAUGCAUAAUUUUUUAUUUGUACGGCGGAAUUGCAUGAUUCAAGUGUCAUUGGACUCGUCUCGAAAAUAUGAGAUCGUGCAAUCCAUUUAUUCAAAUUUAUUAUAUAAUUUUUGCAGAAUUUUUAAAAGUUAAAGGGCUUGCUUGAAAAUUUAUUUUAUUUGAAUUUUUUUUCCUCAUUCUAGGUGCUAAAACUACUGUGAAACCACAAUCUUAGAAUAUGAAGAAUUUUUUGAGUGGCUAUAGAGGCAAGUAAAUAGUUACUUUUUUGUAAAUGGUAGAAAAUGUGCAUAUCCGAUGGAUUCGAGACACGAUUAUUAUCUUUUUUUUUACUAGUUGCUAGUACACUCGAGUGAAUUUUUAUAAUUAUGUUUGUUGCCGUGGCUUAUUCACUCUUGCAUGUUAUUAUUAUUUAUCGUUAAAACAAUUUAUUGUUGUUUAUGAUUGUUAGGAUCGAAUAUCUUGGAGGAGAGGAAUUUAUUCUACACAUUGUUCUCGAGGAGGAAUGGCACGUAAUCAUAGCUCUCGUGUUAGAGUGGUGCAAUGAAGGGCGCUCCAAAUUAUAACGACUGCAGUUUCAAAUUUAAAAUUAUUAUUAUUCUUAAAAGUAGAAUUCUUAUUAAGUAUUGCGUUUACUUUUAUUGUCUACCGUUUCAAAUAUUGAAGAGUCGGAGUGCGUAAGAUAAUCGACGGGCUAGGACUCGUAAAAUAGACUUCAUUUUAUGGACAUUUAGGUAAGUUUGUUUCACCGAAACUGGACUUUAGGUUUAAGUGGACUUUGGGUUAAAGUGGAGUUCGGUGAAAACUACUUUUUUAUCGUUAUUUGUUUCGUAAUUAUGAAAGUAAAGUUUCAUUAGUUCUACUAUUUAUUUGGUAGGAAGUGUGUGAUGUAAAACAAAAAUUUAUAUAUAAAUAAUAAAUAUUUUAAUAAAUAAAAAUAAUAUAAUUAUAUUUUUGUAUAAUUAAAAUUUAAUUUAAAAUAACUAAAUUAUUCUUUUAUACAUAAAUUAUUAGAAAAUAAAAAAUAGUAAUACUUAAUUAAUUAAUUUUUAUUAUUUUUAAUUUUACAAACUAAAUAAAGAAAAUAUUAUAACUUAACUAAUUAAUUUUUAUCAUAUUUUAAAUAUGUCAACUGAAUAAAAGAGUAAUUAGUAACAUAAUUAAAUAUAUUUAAAUAUAACUAUAUUUAUCUAGUAUAUUAUUUUAUUAUUUUUUCUUCACCUCUCUUCACCGAAAUUAACUUCGGCCCACGAUAGGUUGGAAGUUAAUUACACCAUUUGAGAUUAACUCGAGUUUUGAUCGUAACUUUUUUACGACAAACGAAACAAUGAAAGUGAUUGUUUAGGACGAAAACGACUUACCUUCUCUCCACUUCCACCCCACUUCCACCCAAACAAACAUGUCCUUUUUUAUUUGAGUUAGGUGGAAUAGAAGGAUUUCUUUAUUCUUUUUCACUAAAUCGGACAUUUAAUAGUUACUUAAGUUUUCUAAGGAUAUAUUUGCUGUUUGAUAUCUUUGUAAGGUACCUGUAUGAAAUUAACGUAUAUUUAACCCUAAAAAAAUAUGGGUAAUAAGACUACUGUGAAAUUUAAAAUCCUUGAAUUUAAUAGAUGUAAGGUUUACAUCCACUUUCAAGUAUACAGAUAACAUUGCUCCUAAAUAAAAUAAAAUGAAAUAUCACUGAAAUAUAACAAUAGAAUAAUGCUAUAUGUUCAUCUAUAAAAUAGUUAUAAAUUUUACACUAACUAUCCAAAAACUCUUAUUAUUUCUCUAGUCUUAUAUAAAGUUUUUUUUUACUAAAAUUUAACUAAAUUUUUUUGUAAACAUAGAAUGUAAAAGAUAUAAAAUUUAGGCUAAAUUACAUAAAACCCAUAAAGAAGUACACAAAUAUUAUUUUUUAUAAAAUAAUAUAUUAGAAUAGUGGCAGUACAGUUAUAAAAAAAUAUAUCAGAAUAGUGGCAGUAGAGUUAGUGAGUUACUGUGUUUGACUUGAGAACUAAAUUUUGAAGAACAAUUUUUGUUGUUCUCGAAAACAGGAGAUAUUUCGAUAUAAGCUAGAACAAGUUGUAAACUACGUCUGGAUGUUGUUUGUUUAUUUCUAGAGAAUAUUCUUGAUAGUGUUUGAAUAUUUAUGUUGGAAUAGGGUGCUGGAAAGAUAAAAAUUAAAUAGAAUAACAAAUUUAUCCUUAAAUAUAAUAAUCAAAUAUGAUUUAAUAAAUUAAGUAUUAAAAUAAAUUAAUUUACAAAUAAUGUUUUAGUAGUAUUCAAUUUAAAUAUUUAUUUAUUUUUUUUCAAAACUAAUUUAAAAUAUAAAUAUUUAAAAUGGAAUAGCACUUGUUAAAUUAAAUUAAUCAUUCAAUCGAUUUCUUUUAAUCUACUAAAUUAAAUAUCAAUAAGUCAAAAAGUAUGGCUCUUAUAAAUGUAAAAAAAAAAUCUCCACAAAAAAAUUUCUAAACAUAUCCCGGUGAGGAAGGGUUUAAAGGGCAAAAUGGAAAACUAAGAGAGCACCUCAAGUUGUUCUCCCUAGUUCUCCGAUCGGAGAAGAAUAGGCUUAACGGGUUGUUCCUGUAAUAAUCCGUUAAGCCUGGAACAACAAAUCCCUUUUUUUUUUCUGUUUGGAUAUUAAUUGGGGGAUGUUUUGCUUUAUUCUGGAAUAAACCUCCAACGAAACGCAGAUAUAGAGUCUAAUAAUAUAUAUUUUCAUGAGUGAGGCUACUAUGCUAUCAAAAGCACGGAGCCUUCCGUGCUUCCAGCUCGUUUUUGAUGUUGCGACUUUCAAAUCGUCGAUCGGCUCCGUUAAACUUGAUCUAGAGUAUUUGAAGUACCUAGAAAAUAAAUUUUAUGAUUUUACGAUAUCAUUUACCUAGUGAACGAAGGGGCUCAAAAUCAAUGGCUGAAAAUAAAAAUCUUACAAAAUAUAAUAAUAUGACAUUAAAAUUUUAAAUCAAAGAUAUUGAUCUUGUUUUAUAUAGUAUAAAGAAUUUUCUAUCAAAAUUUCACGUGAUUUGGAUAUUUCUACACCGUUAAACUUGCAAACGGCUCACUACGGCCAUUGAAAUUUGUUGAUUUUGAGCCCAUUUGAUCACUAGGCAAAUGAUAUUGAAAAUUAAUAAAAUUUAUUUUCUAGGUACUCCAAAUACUCUAGAUCAAGUUUAACAGAGCCGAUCGACGAUUUGAAAAUCGCAACAUCGAAAACGAACUGAAAGCACGGAAGGUGCUUCCGAUAGCAUAGUAGCCUCACUCUAUUUUCAUAUUGCGUAGUAUACUGCACACAUAAUUAGCAAACACAUAUAUGUUGUUGGCCUCUUUCAAUCAAUCUGCUUCCAAUGAUUCAGAUGUGAACUAUCCUUUGCUCUUGUCACGCAAGCAAAAUCCAACCCGCUAGCUGGCAUCCACGCAAGCCACGUCCUUCACAUGACCAAUCCAUUACUAUUAUAAAUUAGUCUAAAUUGCACCACUAGUUUUUAAAAGGGCAAUUUGCAUAAAAAAAUCUUUUAGUUUUAAAUUUUUGCAAAAGUAAAUCAUUCUUUUAGAUUUUGUAAAUUUGAAUUAAAUUUUUUAAAAAAUGAUCGAAAUACUUUUAUUCCCUUUUCUUUCUCUUUUUUUUUUUAUCUCGUUCUUUUUUUUCUUUUUUGUCCGAAGAGUGCGGCGGAGGCGGAGGCAGAGAAGGCCCGCCUCGCUUCUGUCCCGCGUGCCCUCGCCCUCGCCCGCACACCCUCCCUCCGCCUUUCUUCCCUCCGACCCUGCUGAGGCCCCGCCUUGACCCUCUUUUUUUUUUUUUUUUUUUUUUUUUUUUUUUUUUUUCUUUUUCUCCCUCUCCGACCCUCCUCCAUCGCCUUCUCGACUUUUUACAAUAAUAAAAAAGGUAGUGUCACAUCUUCUUCCUCUCUUUUUCUUCUCUCGUUCUUUUUUUUUUUCUCUUCAACCCUCUCUACCGCCUCUGCGACUCUCCACGACCGCAAUGAGGACAGCACCGUAUCCUCUUCCUCUGCCUUCGCCGGCGUAGACACCGACGCUAGUGCCGGAGAAAGAGAACUCAGAGCAAGUGCAGGUGAAAGCGGAGCCGAGAAAAAAUAUACAAAAAAUAAAAAAUAAAUAAAAUAAAGAAUAAAACAUGAAAAAAAAUAGAUUUUUCUACAAAAAAAAUGAAGAAUCAGAGAGAGAAGAAAAAGAUGAUGAAUUUGCACUAUUUCAGAAGAACAUUGCACUGUUUUUGAAAAAAAUUACACUCUUUGAGCGAAAAAAUAUACUUUUUUUGAUGAAAAUUGCACUCUUUGAAUGAAAGUUAAAUUCUUGGGAAAACUUCAAAAAACCCUCCUGUGAUUUCACACUUUUUUAUAGUAGUACCCUGUGAUUUAAAAUGUAUCAAGUUAGUACCCUGUGGUUUCUCACUUUAUCACUUUAGUACCCUCUGGUUUAAAGUGUAUCAAGUUAGUACUCUGUGGUUUUGCACUUUAUCACUUUAGUACCCUGUGGUUUCACACGUUAUCACUUUAGUACCCUAUGGUUUAAAAAAUCACAGGGUACUAACUUGAUACAAAAUUAAAACCACAGAGUACUAAAGUGAUAAAGUGCAAAACCACAGGGUACUAACUUGAUACAACUUAAACCAGAGGGUACUAAAGUGAUAAAGUGAGAAACCACAGGGUACUAACUUGAUACAUUUUAAAUCACAGGGUACUACUAUAAAAAAGUGUGAAAUCACAGGAGGGUUUUUUGAAGUUUUCCCUAAAUUCUUUGAACGAAAAUUAUACUAUUUGGCCGAAAAUUAUACUAUUUGGCCAAAAAGAGAAGGAGGAGAAGGAGAAAUAGUGUAAUUUUUGUCCAAAUAGUACAAUUUUCGUUCAAAGGGUGUAAUUUUUAUUAAAAAAAAUAUUUUUACUCUCAAAGAAUGUAAAUUUUCUCUAAAACAGUGCAAUAUUCCCUUAAAAUAGUGUAUCAUUAUCCUGAAACAGUGCAACAUUCUUCUGAAAUAGUGGAAAUUCAUCAUCUUCUUCUUUUCUCUCUGAUUUUUCAUUUUUCUUUUAGAAAAAAUUAUCUUUUUAUAUUUUAUUCUUUAUUCUUUUUAUUUUUUAUUUUCUGCGUAUUUUUUCUACAGCUCCACUCUCACCCACACUCGCUGUAAGUCCUCCUUCUCCGGCACUGGCAUUGGUGCUUGCGUACCGUCGUGGAGAGUCUUAGAGGUGGUAAAUGGGGGUCGAAGAGGAAGAAAAAAGAAAGAAAAAAAAAUUGAGGAAGAGGACGUGACGUUGUCCUUUUUACUGUUGUAAAAAGUCAUGGAGGCAGUGGAGGAGAAUAGGAGAAAGAAGAAAAAAAAAGGGUCAAGGUGUGGUUUCGGUGGGGUCGGAAGCUAGGAAGGCAGAGAGAGUGUGCACGGGCGAGGGCGAGGGUAAGGGUGCGCGGGAUGGAGGCGAGGCGAGCCGCCUUCGCCUCCGCUUCCGCCUCCGCUGCCCUCUUCGGAGAGAAAGAAAAAAAAGAACAAAAGAAAAAAAAAGAGGAGAGAGAAAAAGAAUAAGAAUAUUUUGGUUAAUUUUUUGAAAAUUCGGUCCAAAUUUGCAAAAUCCAAAAAGGCAGCCUACUAUUGCAAAAGCUUAAAACUUAUAGAUUUUUUAUGCAAAUUGGCCUUUUUAAAAUUGCGGUUAAGUUAUAAUUUUAGUCUCAAAUUUUUAAAUUUGAUGUUAAAAAUUCAUACUUUUUUAAAAUUUUAUUUUAGUACUACUGAAAAAUAAAUUAAUAGUCUAUAUUUAAUAAAUGGAAAAACUUCAAAUACCAUUCUUGUUGUUUUACACUUUCUCACUUUAGCACUAUAUGUUUUAAAAUGUAUCAAUUUAUUGCUGAUGGUUUUAUUUUUAUCUUUUUAUUAUCGAUUCCACUAAUUUUUUCGUUAAAUUAGUGAGAAAAUUAAAACUAAAGGGUAUUAAAGUGAAUAUUCAAUAAAUCUAGGUAGAGUAUCUGAAGUUUUUUGUAUAUAAUUUAACGAAAUAUUAAAAGAAAAGCUGACAAAAAGAUAAAAAUAAAACCACAGAACACUAAUUUGAUACACUUUAAACCACAAGUUACUAAAAUGAGAAAGUACAAAACCACAGGAGUGGUAUUUAAAGUUUACCCUUAAUAAAUUGUAUAUUCGGAAAAUAAAAAUUAGUGGAAUCUACUGCCCUAGCAAAUUGUUGGAGUCUGGGUGCCCACGCAGUGUCAAUCCCAAAACAAGAGCACAUAUAUAUAUUUUUUAAAAUAAUAAAAGAAGAAGAAAAAUAAAUUUGAAAAAAAAAAACAGAAAUCCUAGUUCUUCUUUAAUCUCUCUUUUCUUUGUUUCAUUUUAAAUUUGUUUUUUAAAGGAUAAAGAAAUAUAAAAUUUAGAAAAAGCAUAAAAGAAAAAAGGUUUAAAGUACAAUUAGAGUUUUUAGUUCUUAUUUUAUCUCAUUUUUUUUUUUAACUUUUAUCCAUUUAACAAAAAGAAAAAAAAGAUAAAUUUUUUUAAAAAAAAACAUAAAAGGAAAAAAAGAUUAAAGCAAGGUUUAUCUUUUUUAUUUAAAAAUAAUAGUAAAAAGUAAAAGGCCAAUUUGCAUAAAAAAUCCACAAUUUUUGAGUUUUUGCAAAGCUGGGCCGCCUUUUUCGAUUUUACAAAUUCGAUCCGAAUUUUCAGCAAACUGACAAAACUACCCUUAUUACUUUUUUUCUUUCCUCUUUUGUUUUUCUCUCGUUCAUUUUUUUUCUUCUUGUCGAAGAAGGCAGCGGAGGCAGAGGCGGAGGCGGAAACGGCUCGCGUCGCCUCUCACCCUCAUGCCCUCGUCCUCGCCCGUGCACCCCCCCGCUUUCCUCGCCUCCAAUCCCGCCGAGGCUACACCGCGGCUCUUUUUUUUUUUCCCUCUCCGACCCUCCUCCACCGUCUUCGACGAUGAUUGCCUCUCUCGCCCUCUCUCGCCCUUCCCCGCCCUUCUUACCCUCUCUCUCUUCCUCUCCCUCUUUCUCCGUUGUUUUCGACGACAGCACUUUUCCGUCGACGCCGACGCCGCGGAGGUCGCUGCGGCGUUGCAACCUCGGAGUGGGGGAUCCUUAGCGGCAUUGUCGCCGGCGCCAUGGCCAUUGGUGGAGAGGUAUGACCCCAAAAAAAAAUUGUAGAAAAAAGAAGAAGAAAAAAUAAAGACAAAAAAUUAUAGAAAAAGAACGAUAAAUUUGAAAUUGCAUUGUUAAAAUAAAAUUAUACUGUUUUAAAAGAACGUUGCAUUAUUAUGGACGUAAGUUGCAAUAUUUGAGAUGUAAACUGUACCCUAUAAGAUGAAAAUUACACUUUUUAAACGAAAAUUACACUAUUUGGGGAGUAGGUUUUGUGUGCUAUUAGGAGCACGGAGGCCUCCGUGCUCCUAAGCCGUUUUUGAUUAUAGAGCUUCCGAAUCAACGAUCGGUUCCGUUAGACUUGAUCUAGCGUAUUUGAACUAUCUAGAAAAUAAUUUUUGUGAUUUUUCGGUAUCAUUUUCCUAGCAAUCGAAAGGGUUCAAAAUCAACAAAUUUUAAUGGUUGAUGUAUACCGUUUGCCAGCUUAACGGUGUAGAAGUAUUCAAAUCAGAUAACAUUUUGAUAGAAAAUUCUUUAUACUAUUUACAGCAAGGUCAAUAUGUUUGAUCGAAAAUUUUAAUACUAUAUCAUCACUUUUUGUGAGAUUUUUAAUUUCAGCCGUUGAUUUUCAACCCUUUCGAUCGUUAGGUAAAUGAUAUCGAAAAGUCACAAAAUUUGUUUUCUAGAUACUUCAAAUAUGCUAGAUCAAGUCUAACGGAGCCGAUCGUUGAUUCGCAAGCUCCAUCAUCGAAAACAGCUUAGGAGCACGGAGGCCUCCGUGCUCCUAAUAGCACACAAGACCUACUCCUAUUUGGAAGAUAUUUAUACUGUUUCCCCUUUUAUUGCACUCUUUGAGAUGUAAAAUGUAUCCUUUAAGAUAAAAUUACUCUCUUUAAACGAAAGUUACACUCUUUGAGAAAUAUUUACACUGUUUCUUUUUUUAUUACACUUUUUGAGGAAUAAACUGCACCUUAUGAGAUAUUUAUAUUGUUUUUCCUCUUGUUGUUCUGUUUCUCCUCUUAAAGCAGGGUGUAACAAGAAGAGAAACAGUAUAACAAGAGGAGAAACAAUGCAACAAGAGAAGAAAAAGUAUAAAUAGCUCUCAAACAGUGUAAAUAUCUCUUGCGGGGUACAGUUUACAUCUCAAACAGCGCAACAAAGAGAAGAAACAGUGUAAAUAUCUCUCAAAGAGUGCAAGUUUCAUUUAAAAAGUGUAACUUUUAUCUUAAAGAAUGCAGUUUACAUAUUAAAGAGUGUAAUAAGAGAAAAAAUAGUAUAAAUAUUUUUCAAAGAGUGCAAUUUUCGUUUAAAAAGUCUAACUUUUACUUUAAAGAGUGCAGUUUACAUCUCAAAUAUAGCAAUUUACGUUCAUAAUAGUGUAACGUUCUUUUAAAACAGUGCAAUUUUAUUUUAACAGUGUAAUUUCAUCUUUAUUUUUCUUUUUUUAUAAUUUUUUGUCUUUAUUUUUUUCUUCUUCCUUCUUCUAUAAUUUUUUUUGAUCAUGCCUCUCCGCCAAUGGUCACGGCGCCGGCGACAGCGCUACUAAGGACCCUUCGCUCCGAGGCUGCGGCGCUGCAACGACCUUCACGGCGUCGGCGUUAGCGGAGAGGCAUCGUUGUCGAAGGCGGAGGAGGAGAAAGGAGAGGGAGAGGGCGAGAAAGGUGGGGAAGGGCGAGAGAGGGCAAGAGAGGCGUCGUCGUCGAAAACGGUGGAGGGUCGAAGAGGCGAGGGAAAAAAAAAAAAAAAAAAAAAAAAAAAAAACAGCAGCGUUAUAGUGUUGGUAAAACUACAUGAGCCCCCUCAACUAUAGUAGAUUGUAAAAGAGCNNNNNNNNNNNNNNNNUCUUCGGCGAGAGUGAAAAAAAAAUGAAAGAGAAAAAAAAAAAAAAAAAAAAAAGGUGAGAGAAAAAGUAAUAAGGGUAUUUUGGUUAGUGUGCUGAAAAUUCGGACCGAAUCUGCAAAAUUGAAAAGGCGGCCCAAUUUUGCAUUAGCUCAAAAUUUAUGGAUUUUUUUAUGCAAAUUGGCCAAAGUAAAAUGAAAUUUAAAAUAUUAUAUGUAAACUCUAACGGUACUAUAAUCCUAUUUUCUUAAGAUAAAAAUAAAAAAAUAAAUUGAAGAAAAAGAUAAAAAAUACUUAGUCAGUGCAGUAUUUAGAGGUUAGAUGCAUGAGUAACUAUAGCAAGAAGUUAGUUGAUUCACAUAUAAGAAAAUUCAAACUAAACAAAUUUAAAGUAUGGAUGGUUCAUCAUUUUCUCUUUAAAAAUAAUAGUGAAAAAAUAAAAUGAAAUUUAAAAUAUUAUAUAUAAAAUAUUACUCUCCUUUAAUCCUUUUUUCCUUAAUAAAACAUAAAAGUUAAAAAAAAUAAAGAUAAAAGAUUAAAAUAUUUAGGGGUUAGAUGAGUACCUACGAGAAGAAGUUACUUGAUUCACGUAUAAGAAAAUUUAGAUGAAACAAAUUUAAAUUUCUAGAUUGAGUUUUAAUAAAUAUGUUAUAUUCUCCAUUUUUGUGGGCUUGGACUGGACGUAGUGACAUAGAGGCAGUUAGAGUGUUGGAAAAUAAUAAUCCUAACUUAAUCUAAAAUUUAGUUAGAGAUAGAGUUUAUCUAAAUUAUAAACUUAUUAUAUUUAAAAUUUAUGUAAUUAGAGUAGGAUUUGUAAUUAUCCAAAGUAAAAGUUAUGACUUCACAUCUAUAUAUAUAGCUAGGUGUGGAUUAAUUAGAGGAAUCAUGCAACCACGAUAGAAAUGACUGCAUAAGGCCGAGGGUGUCACAUAGGGUGUAAUUAGAGACUUUUUAUUAAUAAGAAAAAACUUCAAAUACCACCCCUAUGGUUUCGCACUUUUUCACUUUAGUAUCCUAUAGUUUAAAGUGUAUCACUUUCGUACGCUAUGGUUUUAUUUUGUCACUUUUUGUUAUCCCUUGGCCAUUUUUUUGUUAAAUUAGUGAUAAAGUUAAAACAAAAGGGUACUAAAGUGAAUAUUCGAUAAAUUAAAGGAAGGGUGUUUGAAGUUUUUUGUAUAUGAUUUAAUGAAAAAUUAACGCAGUGGCUGACGAAAAAAGAAAAAUGAAACCACAAGGUUAGUAUUUGAUACACUUUAAACCACAGGAUACUAAAGUGAGAAAGUACGAAACCACAUGAGUGGUAUUUGAAGUUUACCCUAUUAAUAAAGUAUUAGUUUAGUUAUCUUUUUUCUCCUCCAAUAUCUCUUCUUCAUAUUAGUUUGUUCUAUUUUUAUCCUAGAUUACAUAAUUGGUAUCAGCACCAACAAUUCGUAUCAGAGAAAAUCACACUUCCAACAAUUGGUAUCAGAGUUGGAAAGUACCGGGCGACUUCUAAACCAGAUGAUAACAAAUCUAAAAAGAACACAAAACUAAUGUACCAGAUAGUUACGUCAAAGUUGAGUGACUCGUAGCAGAUUAUCGAAGGUGACGUUUAAGUGAAACCAAAGCGAAAGAAUCACUUUGAAGAAGUUGGCUUUCACACAACACACGAUAGCCGGUGGUUGCAACGCUUGACAAAAAGAAAACACUGAGAGCCCGUGAAGAGAUAAAAAAGACUAGGCAAGCAAGCCAAAGUAUGAAAUACUCAGCGAGAUCUCGAUGAAAUAACAACGUCGUCCAAGUAGAAAGGUACAAGUCUGAAACUUAAUUUUUAGAUUUUCAAGUUUUGUUAUGGAUUUAGAUUGGUUUACUCAACCUUAUUUACCAAAGUUCGAUGGAACAUAUUUCAAAUGAUGAAAAAUGGCAGUUCGAUAUUUUUUAGAUUUCCAAAAUUUAUGGGAUGUCGUGGAGAAUAGAAAUUAUGAAAAAAGAAUUUGGUAAAGAUGAAUUUAGUGAAAGAAAUAGAAAAGUUCUAUCAUAUAUUUUUCAAAAAGUGGAUCUGUUGUUGGUUGGAAAAUUUUCAACGACUAGGACGGCACGAGAAAUGUGGAGAAUGCUAGUGAAAAUUGGAGAAGAAGUGUCACGCCUCGAGGUCCCUUUUUGAAAGCCGAUUCAAAAUCGGGUUAUCUUUAUAAAUCAGAAUAAGCGAAAAACUACCUAGUUUUGUUUUAUAUUAAAACCUUGACCCCCAAGGGUGCAACAGACCAGCCACAAAUACAGAAAAUUUUUGAGAAAUUGACAGAGUCUUUUCUAUAUUUGCACGGCGUAGUACAAGUACAAUUGUCAACCAUGACCUCCACUCACACAAACAAUAAUCAUGAGUCACAAAGAUUAUCAUUUCACAAGUUUCACAUCAUACAGCUAGCCAUCCUUAGUCGAAACCAUUCCCCAAUCAUUCACAUUCAUCCUAGAGGUUGAAAUUGUCUCCCACAUGAAAUUUUUUUUUUUUAAAACUAUAAUUUUACAAAAAACCUCGAGAAAGCGAUUUAAAAGUGUUUCCCACACAGAAACCAUUAUUUUGAAAAUGCUACCACGAGGGAUAGAAAACCAUUGAUAAAAUUCGAGUCCAAAACCACAUAUGUUCAAAAACCACAAAUGAUCGAAACAAUGAGUAUCCAAAACAUAUAAAAACAUCAUUCAAAAAUUCGCAAGUAUAAAACACCAACUGAACCACAAGUAUCAUCUACUAUCAGGUGGAGGGGUGAACUAUACUAUCACCUAUAUGUCUAAUGUUAUGUAUGAAGUAAUUAAGAACGUGUAUCGUAGGUCGAGACCUCUAUGAGCGCCCACUAGCUGCGGCAUCAUGUUACGUCCCGACCAAUCCCAUCCACGUCACCUGAAAAUGUGGGGGGUGAGAACAUUUAAACAAGUCUCCCCCUCCCAGUGGGUACCGCAAGCAAACGAGGGCAAGCUGUACCCACCAGCAGAUUGAGGGAUAAACAACAACAGUAACAAGUAAAUCGGGCAUGAUAACAAUAAAUAACGUCCACCGAUAAUCACUAAAGAAGCUACUACUGUAAAAUGAGGUAAUAAAGCAACGACCAACUAUAGUCAACAGUCAAACUAGUGCAAUAGCGAUGGUAACUGAACUGACAACAACCAUAAUAAUGAUAUGAAUAAAUGCUACUGCAAAGGGAGAUAGAGAAAUGACUAUGCGUCAAUUACAACUGAUAGCACAAGUAUACCCAAUCUAUACCACCGUGUCGGUCUAAGGACCUCAAGCAAACCACAACUGCUCUCUUUGGCAUAUAAUCCAAGCAAAUGGCCACCGGGCUAAUGGGUUGGCAACUAACCACUUUUUCGGAAAAGAACACCCUCCUGCGAAGGAUUAGCCCACUGGUGUUCGUGAAAUACUAUCGAGCUGUGGCGAUCGAUAUAAAUAUAAUCAAUAGCCAAAGUCAGUGAAUAGCCGACAAUCUCCGCCCCUCAUGGCACAUCGAUCAAUAGGUCAUCGAAUUGUAAAGGAACACGAGUACCAACCACUCAGGUCAACUAGGAUUGAACAAUUCAACAUCCUCUCAAGUGUAUGCAAGUAUCGACUACUCAGGUCAAUAAGGAAGUAUGAGAUCAACAAUGACAAUAGUAUAAGGGAACUGACCACCCUAGUCAACUACGAUGUAUCCAUGAGAAUCAACCACUCAAGUCAACGACGACGCGUUCAAAAGGACCGACUACUCAGGUCAACCAUGGAGUAUGCACAAGAAUCGAUCACUCAAGUCAACUAGAAUAGAUAAGCUCAGCAUCCUCUCAAGUAUACGAGUAUCGACCACUCAGGUCAACUGAAAAGUAUGAGAUCAAUGACACUAAAAGUACACAGGCACCGACCACUCAGGUCAACUAGAAUAUAAAUGCAAGUGUCACUACAGCUCUACUUCUAUGUCAUGACAAAUGGGAGAGUAUACCAAAAAAAGUAAGGGUCGAAGUCAUGCGGUGAAGAACUCAAGUACUGAAUAUGUCUAUAUGAAAGCAGUAAAAGGUAGGGAUGAAGAGAACAUCACCGAGCGUGCAUGCCUGAAUCGACUUCAGAUCGAAUUACCCAUCUAUAUUUGUCCCCGCGUCUAGUUCCUACGAGGCGAGGGAUGCCGAUUGGACCUACGACAGGUCCACUAAGUUAGGAUCUAAUCCACAUGACUUAAAACACAUCGCUCACAAACCUAAAACCGCCCACGAAAUCAGUUUCCCAAAACUGAUCCCCAAACUUGCUGGGAGUCCUGAAAAUGCACUGGGAUAACCCUGGGACCCACGAGACAUCCCUAAACACACCGACUCACACCGGGAAUCACCCGCUAUCCCAAAACACACCUAUUUGGGUGUCUAGAUAGCAAACAUAAGUCUCCAGGUCAACCCGUUCGUCGCCGACAGACCGUUCACCAUCGGGCUUUCGAAAGUGUCCAUUUUGGCACUGGAAGCCUCUGCCGCUCGUUUUUCGCCUCUGAACACAUGAGGCAACCCCCGGCGGCCAGCCAACGAGGCUAGGCGAUGAUUUUCAGGGUGAUCACGUAGUCGAAUACUCAUCACGAUGCGAAACCGAGUUGUACCGGCGAUUUUGCCAGAAAAUGCAUCAAAACCCCUCCGCCGCUCAUCCACCACCUCUGAUCUUUAAAGGUGGUGGUACCAACCAGCGAACAAGGCUUAGCGGGGCCUUUAGGGCAUUCGAAAGGCCAACGUGCAAAAGCAGCAACAUAAAUCGCGUCUGAUCGGUGAAUUUUUGCAAGCAACAUUAUGGGACCCCGUUUCCACUCCGCAACAGCUCCCGGACCUUCGACGAUUAGUCAAGAGUUGCUAAUAGUGAUUACACGCUUUUUGAGGCUCUGUGCAGGGUCUUCAUCGCAUACAAUAUGUAGUUGGCCUACUAAAGCAUUAAAUACUAAUAAAACAAUACACGAAACACGAGUUUCGAGCUCGUUAUCCUGAUCCACAUCACAGCAGAUCCAUCCAACCAGUCGAUUUGAUUCAUUUAAAUGAGAUGAUGCUCGUGCUCACUGUUUAGAGCACGAUCGACUACCGAGGAGCUUCGUGGAGCCUUGUCAAGUUCAAUACACGAAGGUCUUCGGGAGCGGGGAAGCCAAAUCUUAGUGAUGCAGCGUCAAUGACAGCAACGGAGGUGGGCAUGACGUUCAGCGAGUCAAGGAGUUCGCCGUGCUUGCCUUCGGAAAGAUCGGGGAGCGUUGAAACACUGUGAAAUGCAAAAGGCCCACAUUUGAGCCCUAGCUCAAAGUGCAAGAAGCUCAGAGGUUCCGACUAGUUGCUAGCAACCUACGGGUGCGCGCCCGGCUGGAGUUGGCGGCGGAAGAGGAAAAGAGCCCCGGGCUCCCCUUGGCCGGCAGCAACGGUGACGGUGUGAGGCUCGCCCAGCACAAAAGCAAGCUGGGCCGAGCCUUACACGGCGGCGUCCAAGGAAGGCAGGGUCGAUGGUGGUGGUCCUUAGGGACUGAAAAAAGACGGCAGAGGAGGCCUAAGGCGGCAACGGCUGCGAGGGGAAAUGGCGGCCUCUCCUCUACCCGCAGCUUUCUGAGGGGUCGCAUACAACUUGCGGAGGCGCCGGCGGUGCUUAGUGACACUAGAGAAGCAUUGCCAGGCUGAAAGGUGUCGAGGGGGAGGCUGAGGAUUGGGAGGGUAGGCUCCUAUGGCUCAGGCUUACAAGAUAGAGAGAGGAAGGGAAGAAGAGAGAGAGAGAGAGAGAGAGAGAGAGAUAUUGGCUUCUCUCAUUCUCCGGCAGUCAGCGGCAGCCAUGGCGACGGUUGCUAAUCCCCACAGGUGGCCAAGGAGAAGAGGAGAGGGUGGAUCUAGGGUUUGGGUUCCAAAAUCCCCAAAUCCACCCAAAACCUAUAUUCCCAAAAGAAUAAUCACCCAAAACUCCCUCAACUCUUAGAAAUAUGUUACAGUCCCUCUCCAGCAUCUUUCUCUCCUAGAAAGAUCCUCGCUUGUACGCUUCCAUGUAGAACGAAGAGCUAAUUGUGUCAAAAAAGCAAAUUCAAUGCGGAAUAAAAGCCAUCAUAGCGAUAAAACCUAUUUUUCUCAAAAACUGUGUGUCAAACAUAAAAUCUGUUGGCGCCAUUGGCCCCGAGAUAGUCGGACCAUCGAAAAUGAGCUAUUGGAUCCCCCAAAACGGAGUACGAUUCAUAUCCGAAGCUGACCUCUCUUUUCAGUCACUAUCGAAAACACAAGUUACUCACUACAACAAAAACGGUGUAUAGCGACACUUUUAAAUGCCGAUACAGUUAAAAAAAGUGAUGUUGGCUAAAUUACCGACACUUUUUAAAAGUGUUGCUAUAUGUGAGGUCGCUAUAUGUGGGGUCACCUCGAUGUUUGCCACCCACUUCUCUAGUGAUCUGUGGCGGAGGUAUACGUGGCGAUCGUAGCCCUCUACGGUUCUUGUGAAAUCCUCGCGGCCAAACUCCAACUGCCCGAACCCUACCUCGUCGACUACGGCGGUAGAGGAGGAGAAGGCGAGAUGGUGAUCAAUUUUUUCUUUUUUUUCUUUUUAUUUGUAAUCGGGCCGAGUAAGCUGGGUGGGGUUGGUUAAGUGGAGAAACUUUUUAUUUUUGGUUGGAUUGAGCUUUAUAUUUAGGCCUUAGUAGAUUUUUUUAAAAAAAUUUGGCAUAAAUGGGACACUUACACAAAAUCCUCGCCUCGAUGUUUGCCACCUACUUUUCCAACGACCUAUGGCGGAGGAACAUGUGGCGAUCGUAGCCCUCUACGGUCCUUGGGAAAUCCUCACGGCCAAACUCCCACUGCCCGAACCGUACCUCGUCGGCUACAGCAGCAGAGGAGGAGAAAGGGAGAUGGUAAUCAAAAUUUUCUUUUUUUUCUUUUUUAUUUGUAAUUGGGCCGAGUAAGUUGGGUGUGGUUCGUUAAAUAGAGAAAUUUUUUAUUUUUGGUUGGAUUGAGCUUUAUAUUUAGGGCUUAAUAGAUUUUUUAAAAAAUUUUGGCAUAAAUGGGAUACUUACACAAAAAAGUCCAAAAAAUGAGUACUUAUAAUCUAAUUCUGUUGUAGUGACUAUUCACUUUAAGUGAAAAGUAAUAAUCGCGUAAAAAAUUUAUUCUAAAUCUUUUUUCGCUGAAAUUUGACAGGCCAAUUUAAAAUUAAAAUACAUACGAUAACAUUUAAAAAGUUGUCAAACAUAUAUAGAAAAAAAAAUCUCAGUCCUCACAAGAAGAUUUACAUGAAGAGAAAGAUAUUCAAGAUGAAAAAGAAAUUCAAUCCAACAAUAAAGAUGUAGAGGCCCCAAUUUGCAAAGGAAUUUAGAAAGAAGAUUUUGAUUAAAAUCAUGAAGAAAAUUUGAUUCACGAAAACUAUGCCGAUGAUCAAAACGGUGCAACAUGGAUCAACGAGAAAGUUCACGAUGACGAUAUGAUUAAAAAAUUUUCUGUCGAUAAAGUAAUUACAUAUCCAGUCAAAGAGGAAGUUGACUCUUUUUCUAAUAUUAUUGAAAAGAACACAUCAAUUAAUAGUAGACAUGGCCGCAUAAGACCAAGGGUGUCACCCAGGUGUAAUUAGAGAUUUUUGAUUAAUAAAGUAUUAAUUUGGUUAUCUUCUUCCUCCUCCAAUAUGUCCUCUUUAUAUUAUUUUGUUCUAUUUUUGAUAGAAAAUCAUGCUACCAACAAAAACGAGGUAUGGACGGUUAUUUGAUGAAAUCAUUUCUUCUAUUUUUUUUAAAAUAUGAAUUCGGAUAUGAAUAUAUAUUGGAUACUAAAUUUUCGUUCUCAUAUCUGCUAAAAUUGGAUUCGAAUAUGGUCGAAUAUUUUUUCAGAUUUGAUAUAGGUUGAAUAUAUUUUCGAAUUUUAUUCAAAUAAUAAUAUACACUUAUAUGCACAAAUAAAUAUGUACUGGAAUUAGCAAAAAUAUAACUAAAGUUUUACAUUUAUGUUCAAAUUUUUAUAUACUUAUUAUUUAAUUGAAUAAAAUCUAAGAUUUAAUAAAUAUAAAUAUUAUAGAAGCAAUUACUGAAAGGUUUCUGACUUUCUUAUUUAUCUCUUUUAGAAAGUUAAUAUUAAAAAUAUCUUUUAAAAUUUCAAAAUCUUUCAAAUAUAUCUUUUAGAGUUAAAUGAAUUAUGCUAUUAUACUAUCUAUAAUACCAAGCACUUACUACUAUCGAGUUUUCGACUGUUGGAUGAAAGAAUGUGUGGUUAAGAUGGUAGUGGAAUGUGCAGUUAGGAUAAUAGUGGUUCUCGGUUAGGAUAAUACUGAUCUCCUAGGGUUGAGUAGGUGGUUGGUUGAAUAGUAUAAUUUAACGGGUGGAAAUGAUUAAAGGAUAGAUCUAACGGCAAAAAAUUCGAUUUUACUAAGAGUUUGGUACUAUCGAUAGUAUAGUAGCUGGACUGAAGUUAAAUUAUGUAACAAUCGAUAUUUCUAUAAAAUUAUCAUUUUGCCCUUUCGAAUAUACUUUUUCUUCUACUAUCAAAAACUUUUCUUAUUUGCUAUUAAGUUACAGACAAAAUAAGUAUUUUAAUUUUUUACCUUUUUACAUAUACUCUUCUAUCAUCACAAACUUUUCUUAUAUAUCCUUGAGCUAGGGGUGAAAAAAAAAAGAAUCACAUUUAUUUUCUCAAAGCAUAAAUUAUCUUCUUAAGGCUAUCAAAUUCAUCCUUAUUUCCCUACAUGUAGCAAUUAAAUCUAUUUUUCUCUCAAAAAGAAAAAUUAACUCCUUAUCUCCCCACACAUAUUAGUAAUUAAA